RNAcentral lists this long non-coding RNA (66987 nucleotides) under Vigna radiata. Its description in RNAcentral is "long non-coding RNA (VRAD_LNC011354)". Lineage: Eukaryota; Viridiplantae; Streptophyta; Magnoliopsida; Fabales; Fabaceae. The record is from RNAcentral.
UCUCUCCACAGUUCAAAGUUGUUCUUCCCCCAAAAUAAUUUGUCGUGUCAAACUUGGAGGUCAUGUCUUCAACUUCUUAAACUUUUUUUUUUUCGCACAAAUCACUCCAAUUAUUUGGUUAACAAAGUUAACAAGCAUGGAAACUCAAGAACCAAAUUCAAAUAAAGCAUUUUUAUUCAGAAUAUACAAUAUCCUCUAUAAACAUAAAGUUCUCUCUCUGUAUAUAAAAUCUAGAAAAUAAAAUAAAUUGUUAAGACUAUUAAGCCUAAAUAAUACAUGUGUCAAAUUAUCUAUUCGAACUUAACAUAGUUACUUUUCUAGAAUACCAUCUUUUAUAUUCUUCAUUAGACGCAUGAUUUAAGCGCAAUCAUCACAAAUUCAAAAUUCGAAACAAAAAAAAAAAUGGUGACAACUUCAGAAAAAUUAAAACUAAAUUUUAGAUAUUUUAAGGAUUAGAAGUAUAUUUCAUAAAAAAAAAUUAUAAAUAAGGACUAAUUUUAAUAAGAAAAAUAUAUCUAGAGACUAUUUUAAAGAUUAAUAUUUCUAAUUAGAAACUAACUCAUUUGAUAGUCAAUACCUUAACAUCAAAUUUUAGUGACCAGUAGUUUAGAGGCUAAUUCAUAAUAUAAAUUAUUUUAGUUACCAAUUUAGAUUGAUUAUAAUUUUUUGAAAUUAUUUACCAAUAAUUUUUAGUUUAUAAAGUGAUAUUUAUAUUGAUUAUUACAGUGACUAAUUAUUUUUUAUCAUUAAAAUUAACUAUUAUUCAAGGAUUUUUUGUAGUAUUUAUUUAAGUGCGUGAGUUGUAGGGUUUUAGCUAAGGAUGAUUAAAUUCUUAUGAGCAAGAUUUUUAUGGUUGAACACGUGCUUCAAGUCAUGUUCUGCUCUUUUAUUAUAAGAAGCAAAACCUAUGUUAUUAUGUAUUGAAAAAAAUAAUUUUGAUUGUUAAGCAUAACUUGUUUAUCAAAAGGGUUAAAUAUGUUUUAAGUCCCUAUAUUUUGGGGUGAUUUUGGUUUUAGUUCCUCUUUCAAACUAAGGUACAAUUUAGUCCUUCAACUUUAGAAAACUCUGGUUUUAAUUCUUUUUACCAAUUUUUUUUUUAACUUUAUUUGUUAUUUCAAAUGCGUUUCUCAGUUAACAUUGAAGCAAAAAUGUGUCAAACAGUAUAAACAAUCCAAAUGCUAUAAUGAAACAUGCUUGAAACAGCAAAUAAAGUUAAAAAAAUUUGGUAAAAGGGACUAAAACCAGAGUUUUCUAAAGUUGAAAGACUAAAUUAUAACUUAGUUUAAAAGAGGGAUUAAAACUAAAAUCACCCCAAAGUAUAGGGACUAAAAACAUAUUUAACUCUUAUCAAAAAUAAUAUGCUAAUUAUUUUGGGUCAUUGAUGAGACUAGCAAGUUGAAAAGUUCAUGUUGUAAAUCCUUUAUUCAUUUGAGUUAAUUAGAGUGGGUAAUUCCACCUCCCAACUCUUAAAAUCUGCAACCCAGAAACCCUAAUUCUGAACCACUUCAUUAUCAAUUAAUAUUUUGCACACACUUCAUAUAGUCUCCUCAAACUCACACAAUUAUAGAUAUUUUUUCCUUUAUAAGAAACCAAAAAACUAAAGAUAAUGGUUAGAAUCAAUCAAUACAUUCAAAUUAUUUUUCACUUUCAGAAUGUAAUAAUGAUUUUGUUCUGAUUUUUUUUAUUAAUUAAAAGAAGAAAGUAUUAAUUAUAAAGACUUUUGGAACAAUAUGUAAAAGCGUAUAUCUAUUUCCCUACCAUACUCUCUUGUGCACUACCUCUCCCUUUCUUUCUCAUCAUCCUAAAAUAGAGGAAAACAUUAAAAAACAAGAACUAAAAAAAAGGCUCAAACUCAAGCAUUAAUAGACUAAAGGGGAAAAUAUUUUAGCAAAAAAAAAAAAAAAAGUAACGAAUGUGAUAAUGUUUUAAUAAUAAAUUACAAAUCACUACUUUAUUGAUCUAUUUAAAUUUAUUGAAUGUAUCACAACUCAUCACAUAAACGUUGUAAAAAAAAAAUUUAAAAAAACUGUUAAAAAAACAUUUUUCCAAAAGUAAAUGCCUUGUUUGAUAAUGAGUGAUGUGCUAUACCUAACAACAACAAUAGCCAAACAAAAAGAAACUUAUUACAACUCAAUUGAACACAUGUUUAAGCUGAAUUUGUCCUCUUACUGUAAUGAUAACAAAAGGUAAAGAAAAUGAAAACUAACCACAGCAUAUAUAUUUGUCAUGAUUGACAAGUGCUAGGGACAAACAACGUAGGAAUCCUCGUCUUGGAAUGAAGAUUUGUUGUCUCUGUAAGGACCAAGCUUAUUGUGACAUUGAGAGGGACCAGAAGGUGGCACUGGCCCUUUUGCUAAUUGGCUUUCAAACGUGCUUUUGAAGUCCCUUAAUUCUCUCAUACACUCACCUCUACUUAAAGCCCCCAAGAAUACCAAAACUGCUACAAGAAAGAGACUCAAACAUGAUCUCCCCAAACACGGCAUAGCUAGUUAGUUAGAUUCCUGUCCUUUCUUCCAAUUCUCCACAACAAGACAAUGGCCAACUCUAUCUAUGCUUUAUGAAGGAUAUAUAUAUAUAUAUAUAUAUAUAUAUAUAUAUAUAUAUAUAUAUAUAUAUAUAUAUAUAUAUAUAUAUAUAUAUAUAUAUAUAUAUGAUACACUAUUGAUUAGAAAACGGUGGAGAUGGGGCAUUGAAUUUUUGUCCAACAAGGAAAACGAUUUUCAACGACCACACAUCAUAAAACAUCAAAAGAAGCUUUUUUGGAAUAUUUAAAUAUCAUUAAAGAGGAAUUUAUUUAUAUAUUAAAAAUUAAAAAUAAAGAAAUUAUAAGAGAAUUUACAAAUUAAUUUAUAUAAUAGCUAUUUUUAUUUACAAAGAAUUUUACUUUAAUUUUUUAAUAUUUUUUAGAGAUUUAGAAAAGGAAAAACUUUUUUUAACAACACUUUUUUAACAACUUUUUGACAACGCAUACGUGGUAGCUUGUAUUUGGUCUGUUUUAAAUAUUUUUUAAACAUAAAUUCAAAUAGACCAAUAAAAUGAUAACACGUGUCCCGUUGUCAAAAGAAUUGUCAAAAAGUAUUGUCAAAAUAUCAUUGUCCUUUAGAAAAACCUGUUCAAAGUGUCUUGUCUAUGAGAGUUUGAAAACGUUGUGGUGAUUGGAAUAUUUUAAUGGCUUUAUUGCAGCAGCCGAUUUAGAAAACAUGGCGAUAGUUUAUAAAAAUGGAACUUUUGAAACUAAUGUUCACCAAACAUGAACCGUAUAGUGUGUGCUCUUGAAUUCAAUUGAACAUAUUCUACAUUUUAGCGACAAAAGUCCAUAUGAUGUGAUAAAGUUAUAUUUUUUCUUGUGAUUUCUUCAGAAUGUGAGUUGUUUUUAACCAAGAAUUUGGAAAAGUGGAAAGGUAGAUUUUUUGUUUAAAAUAAUUUCAAGUGAUGUCGUUAAAAUAGCAAAUGAUCAUUUAUACAAAUUUUUUUAACACUUAAGUCAAUGAGAUAUUAAAGAAUUAUGAGAAAAGAGUGAGAAUGAAUUAUGAAGUAAUAAUAAUCUGUCUUUAGUGGAGAUGUUUUUAUAUAGAUUUUUGAGUUUCUUACAAAUAAAGAUAAAUACAAAAAUAUAAUUAGGUUUGGUUUAAGAUAUUUUGUUAAUUAUAUUGCACUUGUUCUUCGUAAUAAUUUAUUAUAAAACAACUAAUUGACUUCAACUAAUUGACUUUGAUAAGUUAUCCAUAGAUAUUUUUCGAAAUACUUAUAAACAGGGAGAUAAAUUCCCCAAAUUUAAAAUAUCAAUAAAUGUUACUAUAAAAAGGAAUCAUUUGAUUAAAUUCCAUUUUAAGAUAAACUAUUUUUCUCAUUUUAUAACAUUUUUCAGCUCAUAUGUACAUGACAGAAUUUUACCUUAAUUAGAACUCAUAAUUCUAGGUUUAUUAUUGACCUCAAUUUUGAUUGGGAAUAUUUGAAAUGAUCCUAAUUUGUUUUUGUUGUUCAAUGUAGUCUUAAAGAUUGUAAUUUGUGUUCAAUUUAGUCUUUUUUGCAAAGGUCGUUUAAAUUGUUAACGACCAGAUGUCCAAUUGUGCAAUCAGUGAAUGAUGUGGACACUUUAACUGCUGACUUGUCUUGACUGAAACAUGACGCAACCAAUAAGGGACUGCCACGUGACAGCUCCUUUCCUACCCAAAAUUAGGGUUUCAGAUUAGGGGAAAGGGGAAAACUUAGUGGCUUCUUCCUCCUGCAUCGCUCACUUGCAUUCAUGGUUGAGCGUAAAUGAAGAAGCGACGCUACUCAAGAGUUGAUGGUAAUGACACAUUGGAUUCAUGAAGCGCAAUGAAGAUGAUGAUGGGUCUGUUUCAUGGUUCAGACGAGUUAGGGUUUUGUUGAUUUUGAAAUUUGCAGGUAAAAGAUGUUGGCAUCGCAAUGGUUUUUUCUAUUACGGAGGCUUCUGCUGCUAGGAAUUGAAGAAGACGAAGAUGGUCUUCUAUGAUGGCGGUUGAAGCUUCAUGCAUCAAUGGAGUUUGUGAUUUUUUGGUUCUUCUACAAGUUUCUGAUGCGGUUGAUGAUGGUGAUGCAUUGAGGAUUGCACGUGACGGUCACGAGGUUGAACAACAAUUCAAUUUAGGGUUUGAAUGACAGCACUGUAGUGACGGCUUAGAAAGAAGAUGACUGUCUAGGUUUCUCUACAGGUGGGUUCUCGCAGGCUGUUGGACCGCCAUGGAGAUGGUUUGAGAAGGAGAUGCAGUGGCGUUGAUGGAGAUCCACGGUGGAGGAAGGAGAAGAUGGUCUUGGUGGUGUUUUUGGAUGAUUGCUGAAUAUUUGACCGUUAACGAUUUAAAUUAUAAAAAUGAUUAAAUUGAACACAAAUUAAUUUUUAAAACUACAUUGAAUAGCAAAAGAAAAUUGGGACAUUUCCAAUCAAAAUUAGGACCAAUAAUAAUAUUAAACCUAAAUUAUAACUUUUCAAAAUUAUUCAGUAACUAUAAAACUAUGAUUUCAUAAAAAAAAAAGACAAUAGAAUAUUAGAAUGAUUUAUUAAAUGUCAUCAAAUAAUGUGGAAAAUAAUCCGUUAUUAAAGUUAAUCAAUCUAAUUCUGACAGACACAAUAUAAAAUAUAAAAAUUGAAUGAGUUAAUAAGUGGACGCAAAUUAAUAAAUAAAACAAAAAACUAAGAAUGUGGAUCAAGCUUUUACAAAAUAUUUUUCAUUAGCAUAUGUUUCGGUUCAUCAAAUGCUAAAAUAAAAAUAAAAAUAUUAAUAAAAAACUGGCCAAACCUUAAACAAAUACAAAGUAAAUUUUUAUCAAUACAAACAUUAGUCUAACUUAGGUAGAAAAAAUAAAUAAAUAAAUAAAACAUUAAUGAAAGAAUGAGUCAAGCUCACACUGGAUUCCUAGUGUUAAAAGAAGACUGGAUUUCCUAACAGUAAAGGUAAUAAACAUGUUUGCACCCACUGUUGAAGAAAUAGACAUAUAGUGGAUGUAUGCUACCAAAAGCAUGGUUUUCCACCUACAAAGCUUUCAACACCAAAAUCAAAAAUUUUGAUUCCAAAAAUGAUGAAGAAGAACAAUAAGUCAGACUUACACAACAGCAAUAUCGAUCCUUGAUGGCUUUUAUCAAACCUUGAAAUGAAGCUGACACAUCUCAUAAGACGAGUCAUCUUAGUAGUCAUGAAAUGAAGACGAGUCAUGUUUGAUGUUUAGGAUCAAACAAGCAAAAGGAUGAUUUGUUCAGUUAGUUUUCAAGGCAUGUAUAUUAUAUCUGAUAGUACAUGUUCUGUUGUUUGUUGGAAGUCUCACGUCGACUAGAGAUAAGACCAAUUUAUAAUAUAUAAGUGGGAUGCGACCUCAUCUUUCAAACCAGCUUUGUGGGAUUAAGUUAGUCUUAAAAUUCACUUCUAACAUGGUAUCAGAACUAUAAGAAGGUUUUGUCUUUUACAGAAAAUAUUCAAUUAUAUAGAUAACAUUGUGAUGUGUGCCAUAUGACUAAAUAGAAGAAACUUUCAUUUCAUGAUAGUAAAUCUUGUAUGAAUAAGUUCUUUUGAUAUGUUUCAUGUUGAUAUAUGGGAUCCUUGACCCGAUUCUUCCUUACAUGCCCAUCGUUAUUAUUUAACUAUUGAUGAUGGGUUUAUCUAAUGCAUAAUAGAUCUGAAACUAGAAAACAUCUCACAAAUUUUAUUAACCUUGCUGAAAAUUAAUUUGAAACCAAGAUAAUUAAAGAUCAUUAGAAGUGAUAACGAUAACAGUUCGUUUUAAUAAACUGUUUAAGCGAACUUGUAUGUUUUUAAAAUGGUGUUUUUCAUUAAAAAAAAAUGAAUCAACAUGUGUAACAUUGUUUAAAACUAUGAACUAAAAUUAAUGCUUUUAAAAGUAAAUGGAUUAAAAAAAAUCAAAGUCUCCAAUAUAAACCAUUUUCAAUUUUUCAUUUUUAGGAAAAAAACAUAUUUAAUCUAAAAUUAAAUUAUAUAUUUAAUUAAAUAAUUUAUAAAAUACAAUACCUAAUAAAAAUAUUCAUAAUUUAAAAAAUAAUAAUUAAACUAACAAGAUAAGAAGAAAAUUCACGUUUGACAAAAAAAAAAGAAAAGAUAACCUGAUCAUACUUUUGAGUUGAUUUUCAAUAUGUAUUUCUAAAUCUCAUUAUGCUUUGGUGAUUAAAUAUUAUUUUAUUACUAUUUUUCAUAUUUUUAGUUCAUUCUAUGUCAAAUAGAUUUUUUUUAUGACAAUUAAAUAUUUGUUAGAUAUAAAUCUAAUUUAUUUUUCAAAUAUAAUAUUCAAUAUUUAAAAAUACUUUUUCUCAUUUAUAUUAUUUAUUUUAACUUUGUAAUAAUAGUUUUUAAGGUUUUAUUAACAUAACUUAAUUUGUAGGCUUAAUAAGUUCCAAUUUUUGUUAGCUUUCUUUGAAAUGAUUCUAAUUUUUUUUAAAUGCUUAAUGUAGUUCUAAAUAUAGUAAUUUGUGUUAAUUUAGUUCUUUUUGCAAACGCAGUUUCACCAAUCAGUGAAUUACAUGGCAGUUAUUGGCUGACGUGACUAGGACUAGAGUUGACUAAGGAUGGUCAUGCCAAUGAGGGCUUCACAUGUGGAAUCCUUUCUUCAUCCAAAAAUUAGGAUUUCAUAUUUGCAUCUAUAUAUUGGGAAAAACUUGCUGAGAAAAAGAAGGAGGUGAAUGAAGAAGGCGUAAUGAAGAAGCUUGCGGAGAGGUGUUGGUGUAAUUUGGGUUUGGAUUUUUGCGAUUUCGGUUUUUCUCGCAAGAGGUUGAUGAUCAUGUUGGUGGCUCUUCACCGUUGCGGCACAAAUCGCGCUUCUAGUUUGAAGGAGAUUUUUGGUUCUGUGCAUUUUGAUUUUUUGUGUUUCAGGUUGGUGGUGGCUGGUGGAGAAUGAAGAAACUUCACGACGUUGCUCAAAGGCGCGAGGAUCUUGCGAUUCGGUUUUGCGAUGCUUGUGGUGGAACAUUUGGAAUAGCGACACGACCAUCUUGUUAGGGUUUCGAAAUGUCUGAUGAUGGAAGUGCGAAGUGGUGGCUGGUCGUGAGCGUGGCAACGACGGUUAGGGUUAGGUGGUGGCUAGGGUUUCUGUGUAGGGGGAAAUUAGGGUUUCUGAAGGUAGGAGAUGAUGAUAACGUGUCAAGGGUGAUGUGUCACUGAUUGCACAAGUGGAUAUUUGGCCUUUAACAAUUUAAAUGACAUUUGCAAAAAGACUAAAUUGAACACAAAUUAUGAUCUUGAGGACUAAAUUGAACAUUUAAAAAACAAUUAGGACCAUUUCGAACAAAAUUGACAAAAAUUAGAACCAAGGUAUUAAACCUAAUUUUUAAUAACAUAAUCCAACAUAAUUUAUGUUUUUAAUGCAUUAUUUAUUUUAAAUUUUAUCAUGAAUAAUUAUAAUGUAGUAUUUUUUUUCUUAAUUUUUAUGUUCAUUACAUUAUUUAUAUAGAUAAUUAUUUAUAAUAAAAAUUUUAUUAAAAAUUAAUUUAAAAAACCUUUUAAUAUUAAUUUAAAUUAAAUAUUUUUAUUUUACUAUUUAAAUUGUUUCUAAUUUAAUUCAUUAUUUAGAAAAUGAAAGACCAAAUACAAAAUUUAAGUUUUUAAUUCUAUUAAUUAUUUAAAUUGUUUCCUUUUUAUUUUUGAAAGGAAAAGCUAGUUAAAGAACUUAUUAUCUUGCAUAUUAAACAAAUGUGCUAAUUUCGAACAAAUUUCAUUUUAUUUUGCUUCCCAAUAAUAUAUUCUUCUUCUAUAAUUUUAAAACAAUAAGAAUAAAAAAUAUUCCCCUGCAUCCCAGAACAAAGUAAGCAUACACAGUACACAGUCACACCCUUCUCACAAGAGUAGCUUUGUCACGCAAAGAAUGAGCUUUUCCAUUUCAGAAUCAGAAUAAAAAUUUCAACUUCCCUUCAUAGCCUUUCUGGAAAAGAAGAUCCAAAAGAAAAGUUGAUGCUAAAAUACACACACUUUUUUAUUCUAAUGUUGCGUGAAACACUACUCAGUUUUCGCAAUUCAUGAAGAGAGAAAAAUAGCCUCAAGUCGCGUUUAAAAAUGGCUAUAAGUUGCAGCGUUCAAGGGUUUCCAUUACAAACUGCUUUUCGCACCGCAGCGUUUGCACCUGCGUUAAGGUAUUCUUCUUCUUCCCCUUGUCCUAUAGCAAAACGCAGCGUUUCAUUUCACUGCUUUUGAAUUGUUGUAAGAAACAUGUCUCUCUCUGAAACAUUCUCAUGUUUUUUUUUUUUUUGGUGAAUUUGUUAUAGCCUCCCACUUAAACUUCCACCGCAAUCACUUUCAAAACUCGGGUAAAAAUGAUUUUUUACUUUUCCUAGAAAAAAAUAAAAUAAAAUCUCUGACUGAAAAUGGCUUAUGCAUGAAUUAAAAGUAAAAUUUAUAGAGAAUAUAGGUCAAAAAUUUUAUAAAUUAAGCUAAUUAUUUUUUCUCUGUUUCCAAAAAGUCAUACCCUCUACCAUUGAAUAUUGUCUGUCCUUUGUGAAAAGGAUCUUAUAAUAUUAGUUAUAAUUCUGGAAUAGGGUAUAGAGAGAAGUGUUGUGUGUUUGUUGAUAUUUCAAAAUAUUGAUGUGUCUAUUUAAUUAAAAUUUUAAAAAUCUUUUGAAUUUUAUUUAGAUUUUAUCCUUAAAAACUUAGAUAUUUUAGCUUACUUGUUGUACUUGACUUGUCUUAGGUGGUUUUAAAAAGUCUAUGUUUUCCAUUAUAGAUAUAUGUUUCUUGUGUUUUGAUGAGCUCUGGUAUCGUGUUUUUAUGGUUUAAGAAAUUCUUAUCUUACCACUAAUAUGAAAAUAGUUUUAACCCUGUUACCUGUUUAAUUGUGAUAACAACUUAGAUCUAAGUGGUUAUACAGGAAGUACUUGUUCAAUAAGACACUAAUGCAACUGUUUUUCUAAACAAAUCCUAAAUGCAUGGAAACUCACUAAAGAGUGUGUUUGUUAAUCAUCGUAGAUGGUAGUUUUUUCAUGUGCCACUUUAUACACAUUAUGUAUUUUUUGAUAAAAUUGUUUUUAAUCAUGUACAACUGCAGGACGGUUGUUAAAAUGUCUGCAACUGCAGGCUCUAGGAUAUCAUACGAGUCCUUGGCCAUAAAGCCCCCUGAGCACCCAACUUAUGAUUUGAAGGGCAUUAUCAAGUUAGCGCUUGCAGAAGAUGCUGGGGAUCGAGGUUUAUUCCUGUACUUUUCAUGUUUUAUGUCUUUUACUAGCUGCCAUGUUUCUUCUUCAGUUUUAAAUCUAUAAUUCACACUUUGAAUUGUUAUUCUUCAUUGAUUAUUAUAAGAAAAUGUGAACUCUUCCAUGCUGUUGGGCUUGUGCAGAUAAAUGAUACUGUACACACAUUUUUAUUUGGUAGAUAUUGUUCAAUAUAGUGAAAACUAUGUAUGAGAGUAAUUUUUCUAGUGUUGAAUAUACACUUUAGAAUACUCUAUUUAUAAUGGAAGAGAAAUGAAAUAAGUCCAAAAUAUAAAUAAGAAAUAAUAACAAUAUAACUAAAGAUUAAAGAUAAGAUAUCUAUAUAAAAUAUCUAAUAAUCUAAUAUAUCUAACACUCCCUCUCAAGCUAGUGCAUACAAAUCGUAUGUACCAAACUUGUUACUAAUAUAAUCAAUAAUUAGUGAAUAUCUACUUUUCGACUCGAGUGACAUCAAAUUGUUAAUGAAGGACUUGAAGAUGCAUCAAAGGGAGGAGAAGUGAAGGUUUUAUUCACUUGGAGUAAGCAAGCCUCGCCCAACGUAUUUGGAGACUCGCCCAACAAUGCGACGCUCAGCCUAAACCCGCACAUGCCCAACCCUAGCGGACAAACACGGCUCUCCACAUUUUCUGCCUUUUUUUCCAUGUGACUAAUGCAUGAAUUAUCUGACUAUCCAUGUGGCAUUUGUUCUAUGUAUAGUGCCUGGAAAUCAGGGGCACCCUAGGCUGACAGAGGAGGGUUGAAUGCACCUAUAAAUUCACCUCCUCCCCCUCUUGUAAAUCACUUUGAGAUGAUAUAGAGAAAUGAUGUUGAGAUGACUCUAGCUCUUUCCCUUUGCUCUUAGUAACCGGCCUGAGUGAGUUCUACCCUCCUCUAGCCUCCUUCCAUUGCUAGCCUAGCUUGCCUGCAUUGAAACACACCUUACACCACCAAAACACUUCAAUCUGAGCCACUCCUUUACUAUCUUCAUUGUUCCGUUGCUUCCAUGUUGUUUCUGCAUAGUUUAAGUUGUUCCAUAGCUCCAGUUCUGCCCUUGGAUGGAGUUAUCAAAAUGGGACGUGCGACCACACACGACGAACCUGAAAGAGGAAAAAGAGCAACAUCGACGCUUGAAUUGUUGUUUGAGAGGAGACGGGACACCACCAUGCACGACAGAAAAGGGAUCAAAUCUACAACUUCGAAAGGUGCUGAGAGCGCGUAGGAGCUCCAAUGAAGGUAUUAUUGAAGGCACGGUGGUCGCCUAGCUAAGACGAUCAAAAUUGUGUGCUUUCCGUUGAAACUAGAACUCCAGCAGUGGAGGCGAUAGACGAUGCCGCCGUCGGCAGCCACGACAGGUGCCAGAGUGAAAAUUUUUUUUCCUAAAGAAAAGCUUGGGCUCUAAUACCUUGUUAAAUAUAGUGAAAAACUAUAAUCUCCCUUGUGUCUAAAACACACAUAGGGUAAUAUAUUUAUAAUGAAGAAUUAUACAAAUAUAUAUGGCAACUAAACAUCAAUAUGGUAAAUAGAAGAUAUUGUUAAAAACAAUAUCAACAAUACCUACUUAUAUCAAACAAUAUCAAAAGUCUACGUUUCCCAAAUUAACAUAUAACGUAAUGUAUCUAACAUCUAUGAUUCUCUAAUUAAAAUAAAACACAAAAAAUUUAACAUAUAUAAUGCAUUCAUGGUAUCUGUAUUAUUUCAAUUGUAGGUGAUGUAACAUGCAAGGCCACCAUUCCGUCUGACAUGGCAGUGGAAGCUUAUUUUUUGGCAAAGGAGGAUGGCAUCAUUGCUGGAAUUGCACUUGCGGAGAUGAUAUUUCGUGAGAUUGAUCCUUCUUUGAAUGUAUAGAAGCAAUUCACAGAAUGUCAAUCAUUAUAUAUGUGUUCAAUCAUUAUAUAUGUGGUUGGCUAAAUCAAUGUAAUAUUACUUGCAAAUAUCAGGUGGAGUGGUGUAGAAAUGAUGGAGAUUUUGUCCAUAAAGGCCUACAGUUUGGAAAAGUUCAUGGUGAGAUAAUUAUUAGGAAAUCAAAAUUGCAAAAGCAAGUGGAAUGAAAACAUUAUUCAUUUCUAUUUAAUUCAUGAACGGCUUCUAUUGAUUCUCAAUAAGUUGUGGACAGGACGGGCACAUAACAUUGUUGUAGCUGAAAGAGUAGUACUAAACUUUAUGCAGAGGAUGAGUGGUAUUGCAACUUUAACUAAGGUAAUCUGUUGUUUACUUUAUCCUUUUUCUUUUGUUAACUAUUCUUUUCUAUGCUUGCAACUACCUAACAGAAUAAGACAGAAAUCGUAUUUAACACAGUUACCUAACACUAUAUUCUGUUAAAGGUCUGUAAGGCUAUUUAAAAAGUUUGAUAUCAAUUAUUGGAAGUGUAGAGAAUAUUGGAUCAUAUUUGCAAAAUGGCUGAAUUGGAUAGAUUUCUGAAGAUGAUUUACUUGGGUUUGUUGCUUUUGUGUUGAGCAUAGUUGCUAAUAUCAUGCCAUUAUGACUGCUAUAGUGUUCAAUGGCAUAGGUUCUUGCACUAUGAUGCAUGUAUAAUGUGUCAAUUGGUUGAUUGUUGCUUAAUAAAAAAUAAUAGUCCAGUACUUUACGAGAUGAAACAACAAGUCUUUCAUUUCUUGGAGAUGAGUCCUUCCAAGUCUGGGAACAUAAACACAUAACAAUGAUUAAUCAAAAAAUUGAUUAGCUGUUUUGGGAGCAUAGUUAUCUUCUCAAAUGGUGUUAGGAGAAGAGGAAAUUGAAGAAGGGGGAAGAGGAAAUCGGAGAUGAGGAAAAAUGAAAUUGGAGAUGAGGAAAGAUGAAAUCGGGGAAGGGGGAAGAGCAAAACGGAGAAGGGAGAAUAUCUACCCGUAGUAACCUCUUUUAGUACACAACACCUAAACUUGCCAUAUCAAUGGUGAAAAAUCUAAACUUGCCUGUCCUCAGUUUAAAUGCUGAUAGGUAUUCAGACCUAUAACGAAGAAUCCCUUAGAUUCUUGGGAUCUUUAUUCAAACAACACAAAAGAAUUUCACCAAUGUGGAGGAACCCAACACAGAUAUGGAAAAUAACUUGACUCAUGAAUUCAGAUUGAAUAUAAUAUAUAGCACUGUGUUACCUUUUACUGGCCCAGUAAAUAGAGAAAUUAUCCUUUAUUAUCUUAUAAUUCUUGAUUGCUUUACAGAUUGUGUUUUUCCACAGGCAAUGGCAAAUGCAGCAUACCCUGCAUAUAUGUUGGAGACUAGAAAAACUGCUCCAGCUUUACGUUUAGUGGAUAAGUGGGCGGUCUGGCCUUUGGAUCACUUCCUUGCAAUUAUUAAUCUUAUGCUUUAAAGCAUAAAGUUUACUCAAUAAACGACGAACAUUUGCUUUUACAGGUAUUAAUUGGUGGAGGUCGGAAUCAUAGGAUGGGUUUGUUUGAUAUGGUGAUGAUAAAAGAUAAUCAUAUAUCAGCAGCUGGAGGUGUUACAGGUGCCCUUAAAGCUGUUGACCUGUAUCUGGAGCAAAAUAGUCUUCAAAUGGAGGUUGAGGUAGUGUUCUCUCAUUGUUUUACUCAUUUCUUUUCCUUUUUCCAUUUCUUUGAAAGUUCACGGAAAUUGUUUUGCCUGCCAGGUUCCAACUGACUUAUUAGUGAUGUGCUAUAGGAUAAUUUAAUAACUAUUUGUGUAACAAAUUAUUUGUUGAUGCAUAAACUAUAUGAUGGGGCCAUAUCUUACUGAUAAGUAUUAAUGGAGAUAAAUCAUUACAAAAGAGAAAAUCCUGCUUUAUCACACUGAAAAACAAAAAAGCAUGGAUAAAAAGAAAUACUUGGUGAUUGUUGACGGUCUACUUCCUUCCCACCCUAGUGCCAUAACUCCUUAUUGAAUGAUUGAUCGGUUUCCUUUCGUCCCCUAGCCAGCCCUUUUAUCAUUUCCCUUACCAGAUUUCACAGCUCUGUUGUCUCCUUUCGUACCUGUCACAUGAGUAGUUGUUACAAUUGAAAUUCUUGUCCUUACGGCCUUUGUAACCGUGUAAUGAUGAUACUCUGUCAGGAACCAAGGGGAUGAAUAUAACAAUGAAUAGAAGAGAAACGCUCUAAUUCCCUUCACAAAAAUCAGUUUACAAUGACAACAAAUCACAAACUCUGUUAUCCUUCUCCCCUUUACUUAAAUCUAACUAACCCGUUAAACUGAUUAACUAACUGUAUCAUUUAUAUUCUAACUGCCGUAACUAAUUCCCCCUUCUUAUAUUCUAACUGCCGUAACUAAUUCCCCCUUCUUAUAUUCUAACUGCCGUAACUAAUUCCCCCUUCUUAUAUUCUAACAUGCUCUCAUCCAAAAUUCUCCGUGUUAUCAGUGUGAAGGUUUGGGUACAUGUCUUAUAACAGUUGACGUAACUUCAGAGGUCUCCCAUUUGUGUUUUUUCCAGGUUGAGACCAGGACUCUUGAGGAAGUGGAAGAAGUGUUACAUUAUUCAUCCCAAACAAAGACUUCUUUGACUCGAAUUAUGUUAGACAAUAUGGUUGUACCUCUACCUAAUGGGGAUGUGGACAUAUCCAUGCUUAAAGAAGCUGUGCAGUUGAUCAAUGGGCGAUAUGAGACUGAGGUAUUCACGAUCACUACUAAAUUUACUUAGUUAAUCUUUACAGUAUAUUUUGAAUUAUUUGUUAGAAAAAACGAUGCACAAUAGUUUGGUACGGAUUUUAUAUCCUUUUUUAUUUCUAUCAUUUUUCUUCGUUUCUGUCAAGUUAUUGAUGAACGAGCAUGCUUUCUCAAUUUUCUAAUUAUCUAAAGACGUAUAUGGAAAUAUGCUAAGCGAUAUGUAAAACAAAUUAAGGGUUUGCACUUAUACCUUGAGGUAAAUUUAUUUAUGGGUUCAUGCAGUAAAAGAUAUUGUUUAGGUUGUUGCCAGCUUGCGUAGUCAUACUCCAUAUUUACUUUGGACUAGUUAGCUUCUUUUGCAUUAUUGGGAUCAUUAUUAAUUUGGACUACUUAAUAAUUUCAGAAUCUCAGGUAUUUUGUGGAUACCAUAAAUUUUGGAUGAGGAUAAUUCUAGUUUCUAAUUUCUAGUUUCAUUUUUGGAAUCUCAGGCAUCAGGCAAUGUCACACUAGAUACUGUACAUAAAAUCGGGCAAAGUGGAGUGACCUACAUUUCUAGGUAAACUUUUAAGUUUGGUAGUUCCACAUCAUUUCAUAGUAUAUAUGGUAUUAUGACCUCAUUUAGAGUUAUUCUGCUUUUGGAACUUGUGUCUCAAGUAGUGAUGUUUCAGAUUGAAAUGUUUCACAAUUUGUAAACAAAUUGAUUCCUUCAAUGAGUUCCUUUUACUUCACAUCUGAACUAUUUUUUAGUAAGCAGGUUAGCCUAACCCUAUCCAUAUAUAUGCAGACCAAAACAAGAUUGACCCAUUUAUCCAAUCUAAAAAAAAAAAUCAUAUUUGAAGAUCUCAAUAUCUAAGCUUAAUAUAAAUAAUACAUGGGGUUCAACUCUUCAACAAUCAUGGCCAAUGAGUCAACAAAUAUCCUGUUUUUAUAGAGUACAAUCUUCUGCAUCAUGUAUGUGGGAAUCCCUUUCUUGCAUUUUUCAAGCAAAAUAAUUACUAUGGUUUUUUUCUAUUUUGGUAUAGCAUGGUUGCAAUUGUUUAAGAAACUUUUUGUUGUAUUUCCUGAAAGUGAAAAUUUACCAUGCUUGUGACUUGUUUUGUGGCAGUGGUUCAUUGACCCAUUCAGUGAAAGCACUAGACAUCUCUCUCAAAAUAGACACCGAAUUAGCACUCAAAGUUGGAAAGCGCACUGGACGAGCUUGAUUAGUCUCUUCUUACGAUUUUAUCAUCUAUCAAUACAUGUAUGCUUUCUUUGAGCUGGUUCUCAUUCUGUUGCAUGUAUUUAUUGUAUCAGUUUUUCUUUUCUAUUUUGUGAAUUUUCAAGUGACGAAUUGCUUCUCAAAUAAAACAAUAUAUCAGUGGUUCCUGUCCUGAAAACAUUUGUGUUAAUUGAAGAUAGCUUAGGUCACACCAUAAAAACAUAUAUCAGAAUAGUAAUACAGAGAAAUAGAGUAAUUUUCAUAUAGGUUAAAUAUGUUUUUUUUUUUUAUUUUAUUUUAUUUUAUUUUAUUUUAUUUUAAACUAUUAUACGUAGAGUAUUUCUAAUGCGAGAAACGAAGUUUUAUAUUGGACUAUAAUAUAAUUUUUACGUGCUAUUAGUUGGAGAUACUGUUUUACAUUAUUUUUAUGAAUUACAGGGAUGAAAUACUUUAUAAUUUAGUUUUAGGAGAAAACACAAUUUUUUUAUAUCAGUUAGAGAUUAAAAACAUUUUUUUUAUAACAUGUUAUUUCUGUACCUUUUAUUAAGACUAAACAUAUUAGAAAUGGCGAAGCAUCAUUGUACUCGUAUUUUCAAUAAUAUUAUGUAUUCAAACAUGUUCUUAACAGAAGAUCAUAUACUUAGUACAUGUAGAGAAUAAACCUGACCAUAAUCAAACUAAAUUCUUAUGAAACAUAAUAUUAUUAGAGAUCUCACUUAAUUAAAGAUAAUAUCAAUUUAUAUAUAUGUUGGUACAAUUCUUAUCUUAUAAUUAGUUUUGUAAAAUUAAGGUUUAAAAUUUACUUUUUAAUAUGGUUUUAGGAUCAAUAGUUAAUCUCGAUGACAAACUCAUAUUAGUAUGCUUAGUGGGAUAUUAUUAGGUAUACAAGUAUUAAGUCUCAACUUGAGUAAAAAAUGAAAGAGUUAAAUAUUAUAUAAGGAUGAAAAAUUAUAAAUUCAUUGUCAGAUUUUGAGUUGAAAGUGAUGUCAAUUUUUAUGUGGGUUGGAUUCACGUGAACCAAAAAAGAGAUAAAAAAUGACUCUUUGAUAUAUAUAACUUUUUUACAUUCAUUUGAUACUAUCCUUUCCUACUUUUUACUCUUUUUUUUCUUAAAAAAAAUAUAAAAUUUUACACUUUUAUGAUCAUUUUAUCCUUAUACUUUGUGUUAAAUGAAUGUAAAAGUGUGUCAUAAUACUGUUACUUAAAAAAAAAAAGAUAUGAUAGAAUGUUAUGAAUUAACAAUAUAUGAAAUCAUGACAUCAUUUUUACCUUAAACUUUCAAGUUUUUUAUAUAUUAUUUAUAUUGGCCAUUUUUAUUUAAUAUAAUACUUUAAAUUUUGUUUUGAAUUCUAUAGAAAUUCAGUAAAAUAUAUAGUAAAUAAGUAAAAAGAAAAAAGUUGUACAAUCUGGUCUAUUGCAUGACUUUAGUAAGUUAUGUUGAGUUUCUGAGAGAAGUGAAGCAAGUCUUGCACAAUACCUUCUUAAAUGCAAGUAUGUGCUAAAUUUUUAAAGGAAGAAAGAUUAGUUUUAUAUGAAUACUCUGAAUUUACAUACAAGUCUAAUACUUCCCAAUAAUAAGGUCAUGUUAAGUCUAAUACUUCAAUUAUAGUAGUUACAAUAAAAGAACAAAUAAAGAUUGUCAAUUACAUGAACUAUGUAUUAAAAAUUUUGAGUGUUGUCAACAUUAGGCUUUAGGUUUAGCAUGCAUUUACAAGCAACAGCAUGACAAAUAGUAAGCUAUGUUUUAAUUUCUUCUGCUUAACGAGUUUGCAUUUAAUGGUUAUAUUGAUAAUAAAUAUAUAAUGUAAAAGUUUUUAAAUGGGACAAGUUGAUAUUAAUUCAUAUAUGAUAAUGGUUAGGUGAACCUUUUUGUAUUUUUGUUAUCAAGUCAAAUUAAGCAUAUUGCAUGUGAAAUGAAUAUUUUUCCAGUAUUAAAUAGUUUUGGUAUUGUGAGUUUUAAAAACAGAUAAAAUAUUAAAGUAAUAUGAAAAAAUAUUUAAGGUUUGUCCGUAUAAAAAAUAUUUAAAUACUUUUAACAAAUUAAUUUGAUCAGUGUUACAUAAUAUGGUUUGAACAUCAUAAUCUUAUAUACAUACAUAUAUAUAUAUAUAUAUAUAUAUAUAUAUAUAUAUAUAUAUAUAUAUCAUAUAAUUCUAUUAUUAAAAUGAUUUUAAAGAAAUCAAUUAUUCUUAUUAAAAUUGGAAUUAAUAUAUAGUUUGUGAGCAUGGAAAAAAAUGUCAUGUUAAUGUUGUUUGACUAAUAUGUAUUCUUACAGUAAAAUUAAUUUGCAUCGUUUAUCUGUUUACGAUUACGGUUUCAUUUAUCAUUUUGAAAAGAAAAAAAUGUUAUGAAAGAUUAAAACGAAAAGUGAGAUAAAAUUUUAAAUAAAGAAAAAUUAUACAUUGAAAACAAAUUAAAAUUUAUGAAAUUGACUUGAGGCGACUUAGGAGUGUUAACACAUUCUAAUAUUAUUUAUCAACAAUUGAAAUUAGUAAAAAUAACAAAAUUACGAUUAAAAAGGGAGGCUCCCAAAAUGUUACAAUAAAUUUCACUAAAUUUUAGACAAUUAUAAAAAUAAAUUUAAAGAAUAAUAAAAUCAACAAUCUAACACAUUAUAUAUAAUCAAAAUAAUUUUUAUAUGCAAACUAAAAUGAAUGUAAAUUUAUUAAUACAAAAUACGUGAAUUUUAUUUUCUAUACGGACUAAAAUGUAACGGACAAGUAAACUAAGAUCUAUGGUAUCUCUAAUAAUAAUUAUUUAUAUGGUUUCCUUUUCAAUAAUAUUUUAUAAAGAUAGUUCUUUCUAUAGACAAUCUUCUUAUAGUUUAAACAUCCCAUAUUUAUGGAAUUAUAUUAAAAUAUUACUUUUAUUAAAAAGAAAUUCAUUUCAUUGAAAGUGGACUAAGACUUCACUGUAUAACAGUCUUUGCACAUCACAGAUACAAAUUUUUAUCCACUUUAAGUUAAGUCUUCAUCAAUUUACUUUUGAAAUCACUUCAAAAAAAUCUCUUAUUAAUUAUGUUUAUAUAAACUCAUAUUUAUCUCUUAUUUUAUUUUAUUUAAGAUUUUGUUUGUACUUUAACAUUUAACAUUUGUAUUUGUGAGAAGACCUUGUCACUCAUUUAUACAUCGUCAAAUAAUGUGGUCUAUGAAAAUGAGACCAACUAAUUAAACCUAAAAAUUUAUUAAAAUAUGAAGUAUAGAAAACUUUUGAAAUGGAUAUGGAUUGCAAAAUUUAAACUUUUUUUAAAUAUUAAAAAAUGUGGUAUACUAACUUUGGUAAGUUUAAUCUCUUUUUUCUUUCUUUCUUAUAUAUACAAGUUCAAUUCACAACAAAUGUCAAACUCUUUUAAAACACAGUACCUUCACAAAUAGUGAAGUUUUACAAUUAUAUAUAUUUAAUCAUGUAAUAUUAUACGUAUCUAUCAAUUUAAAAUUAUAUAUAUAUAUAUAUAUAUAUAUAUAUAUAUAUAUAUAUAUAUUUAAAGUUAUGGUUAUAUAUAUAAGAAUUAAAACUGUUGUUUGGCAUCUUUUUAAGUGAAUUUUGGAUUGCAUGCUCAAAUUAAUAUUUAGAUUAAAAAUUUGAUUCAGAGCAUAUAUGAGGAAAUUGAAAUCUAGAGGUUUCAGAUUUUUUUGUGUAAAAUAAAUUAUGUUUGGAAACCAGGAAAAAGUAUUGGGUGUUCUUUCCUGCAUAUGUAUCAUAUUUCUUCAUCCACCCUGUCAUAAAAUUGACUAUGAUAUUUUAGUAAUUACUUUUAAUAAUUUUUUAACAAUAGGUAUCAUUAUUUUAUUAAUUUGUAUAUUUAAAACAGACUAAUCUCAAACUAAUAUAUAAGUGGUUAUAAAAAAAUUAUUAAAUUUUUUUUUAAAGAUACAUUUUUCUUAUAAAACCAUCAGAAAUUAUUUUCCUUAGCAUGGAGAAUGAUUUCUGUCAAGAAAAAAAUUUCAAGAACUGUUUUUGUUUUUCGGAAAAUCAAUUCUGAAAAUGUUAAAAUGAAAACCACAUACAUUCACUGUUAUUGACAACUACAAAGGUAUUGUUUAUAAGAAAACAGCCAUAUAAUUAUUGCAACAGUUUGUGAUUCAUACACAAAAAUAUAUAUAGCAAGAAAAUGUAAACAACAUCACUCUUAAUCAUAUUUAACUAAUAAAGCAGCAAGGCUAAUUUAUGUAAAAUAACUGUUCAUGAUGCCACUCCUAUAGGAUUCCCUCCUUCACUGAUUGCCAUAAAACUCACUCUUUUCUGCAACAAUUCAUUAUCCAAACCAUCAAUUCAUAAUCCGAGCAAAAAUAAGAUGAAUUUGUACUUUAUUUAUAGAUAGAUACAAAUGUUAAGAAAUAAAUUUUAAACUUAAUUCAACCCUAUAAAAUUAAUAUGUAAAAUAAGGUUUGCAUCUCACUUAUAUAUUUUAAAUUAGUCUUAUUUUUAGUCGAUAUAAGACUUCUAACAAUAAAUAUCUCAAUUUACAAAUUUAUCUUUUAAGAUUAAAUUAAAUUUAAAAUUUAUUUUUUUAAAUAAUAGACUUAUUCAACCACUUAUUAUUGUUGGAUCGUCAGAAAUAGUAAAUUUUACACUUACAUGUAUUUCAAUUUAAAAUACAUAUAACUUGGUCUAAGAAAAUGUAUUAGAUGUUUUACAUAAAUAUAUAAAUUAGUGUAAACCUAUUUUAUUCGUAAGUUUUGUACGAUUAAAUUAAAUUUAAAAUGCAGAGAAACAAACUUGCAUGAAAUAGUUUAAUUUUGACAACCACUCUUGAUAAUCAAUGAUAGUCACCAUGCAAGUUUGUGUUAAUUAUUAAAACAAAGGUUAUAUAUAAUAUCUGUGGAAAAAUCUUUAUUCUGUGCAGACCCAACAACUUGAAAAGGACAUUACGCUUAACCUUUUGAUAUGAGUUUUUGUACGCAUGAAAUGAUGUUUAAACUGCUUUCCUUAUCCAUUCUGUUUUGCUUGUCGUCAACUAUAUGAAUGUGAAUUCAGAGGAAUCUGUUCUUGUGUUUUCUUAAAACUGUCAUUGCUCUUUCAUUUCAAUAUAUAUUACAUAGCAGGUGGAGAUUCAAAUUUAUAAAAACAGGGAAUAUGCAAUCUUAUCAUUUAUAUAUAUUUUGUAUUAAUUUGAAUUUAGGUUUCUUUAAAUUAAGAACAAUGGCUAGAAGUUUCAUAUCGACCGACUAGAGAUAAGGCCAAUUAUAAUAUAUAAGUGGGAUGCAAACUUCAUCUUAUAAAUCCGUUUUGUGAGGUUGAGUCAAGCUUAAAGUCUAUCUCUUAAUAUAAUAUCUGAUUAGAGAGUCAUGAUUAGAACCUAUCCUAACAAUACUGAUGAAGAUGAAAUAAUUUUGGUGACAAAAUUCAAAAAAUUUUGUAUAUUAAGUGAGUGUUUGUCACUAGUAAAAAAAGAAAUAUGUGUUUUCAUAAAAUACUAUAUUUCUUGAUAAAAAAAAAUUCCCUGAAAUAAUAAAGUUAUAAGUCUUGUAAUGAUUUGAUAAACCUAACCAUUCUAGUAUGCAAGUGUUUAAGUAUACCUGAACUCAAUUUUACAAAUUGAAUAAUUCUUUUUAGUAAAAUAUAAGUGUUAUCUUUCUUUUAUAAAUUGUUUUAGGAAAUGAGUUUAACUCUAAUUCAUCAUUAUAAAAUUAUCUUAUUUUUAUUUAAGGUGAGAUAUAUAUCCAACAUAAUAAUCAUGUUAUAUCAUGAUAUAUAUACAUAUGAUAUACUCAUAUAUUAUAUAUUAUAUUAGAAAAUGAAUUUCAAUUUUACUAACCUUUAUUAUAAAACUAGUUUAUAUAAAAUUCGAAUUGUUUUUAUUUAUAUGUUAUAAAUUAAUUUUAUUUUUAGUUGAUACGAACAUGAAUGUAACUUGAAGAAAGAAUUUAUAAUAUUCUAAAUAAGGAAAAAUAUUAACUGAAAAUAUUAUUUUUAAUAAUUAAAAUGUUCAAAGUGAACUUUAUGUAUUUAUAAAAUAUCUCAAAAACUUUCAUAAGAAAAAGCAGUAUUGAGUUUUGUUUAUUUGAGUGGAUUUGAGAGAGAGUAAUUGAGUGAAUUUGAAGAUAAUUUUUUUGUUGUUUAUUUGAGUGAAUUUGGAAGUAAACGAGAGUAGAUUUUUAAAUUCACUCAAAUAAAUAGCAACAAAAAUUUAUCUUCAAAUCCACUCAAUUAUUCUUCCUCACAUCCACUUAAGUAAACAAGAUCGAAAUGAUUACUGAUAUAAAAAGUUUAUAAAGAAAAGGUCUAAAUUACGAUAGAGUAAGUAUUAUAGUGAAUACCAAUAUACAACUUGUAUCACUUAUUACAUCUUUUACAUCUAGUCAUUCAUGAUUAAUUUCGUAUAUAAAAAUUGUAAGUAUUUUAAUAGAAAUUAUAAUUUUAUAUACUAAAAGUUAAAUAAGUGUUUACAGUAAGAAAUGCUCUUAAUGAUAAAUAAAUAAAUCAAUAAAUACUAAUAAAUUUGUUUUGUGUGAAAUAUACAUAAUGAUUGACAAAAAUGUUUUCGUAUUUUUGUCCGUUUUAGAAUUUUUCUAUAAAUAGUUGACCAUGUGACCAGCAAUAAUGAUAUAUAAAAGAAAAAUAAAUAAUUAUAUUUAAUAAAAUAAAAGGUGAUUGAACCCGCUACGUCUAACUUAUUCACAUAAUCAAUUCUACUACAUGCAUUGACCUUAACGUCACGGGUCGAAUAAUGUACGAAAAUAUACUUAGUUUGUGGAACAUAUUAUCUUUCAAUAACCUUUUUAAUAAUUUUUAAUUAUUGAUUCAUAUAUUUAAAACAUAACAAUAAUAAAUUAUCAUAUAAACAGUUAUAAAAAAAAAGUUUUACUUAGAUAUGCUUUUGUCGCUGACAAAUUACCAAAUUUAUUUUUGGUCUAUAACAAAAUUUUUCAAAUUUGUACUUCACCUUUUUCCUUAAAUUUUUUCAGACAAGAUUUUAAACAGUAAAAUAAAGGAAAAUUUGUUAAUGCUUUCAUCAGCAAAACGAAAUGAAAAAUUCAAAUACAAAAUUCGAUAAUUUAUACUAGAAAAACCUAUUCAAGUCCAUUAGAAUUUAAUCUGUUCAAGAAUACACAUAAAAUCGAAUGAUUAAGCAGUGAUAAUAUUUAAUGAUGCUACUUAUUAAGAAUUAAUGCAUUUAAAAAUAUAAUCUUGCAUGGCAAUAUAUAUAUAUAUAUAUAUAUAUAUAUAUAUAUAUAUAUAUAUAUAUAUAUAUAUAUAUAUAUAUAUAUUCUAACGUAGUUUUUUUUUUUCAUUUAUUUUUCUUUAAAUUAUAUCUUGUAUUUAUUAUACUAUGACUAAAUUAUUUUUUAAUUAUCCAUAAAAAUAAUCAAUAACUUAUUUCAUACUUACAAUUACAUCAUCAUGUUUUAAAAUGAUAUAUUCGGUUAGAGUCAGUCAAUCAACAUUAAUUAAUGGUACUAAUUAUAUUAAUUUAAAGAAUUUCAGAUAAAAAGAAAAAAACAGAUGUUUAUAAUAAUUUUACAUUUUACUUGCAUGAAGAAACGUACCUGACGAGCUUUUGAAGCCUCGCCGCUUUUGGCCAUGCAGAGUCCAACGAUCUUCUCCGCCGCCUCGGCCUCCGUUUCGCACCCACGCAUCGCCCUCUCCACCUCCGCCUUCGCCACCCGCAUCCUCAGCCGUACUCCGCCGUUCUCCGCUCCUUCCAUUCCCUGCCCUUUGAUGAUGGUGAGGUCUGAAGCAGACCUCCGCGCCAGCACCAGGCUCUCCAGCCUGUCCUUGGCGCUCAUGUUGAUCCCGGACCGCACCCUCCGUGGCAGCACCGCCGGCUCGCGCGGCAGCUCCACGAGAAAGUAUAGCCUCUUGGGCGCCAACUCCCGGUUGGCCUCGAGCGGCCUGGCCCUGACGCCGUAGUGCUUAACCGCCUCGGAUUCCAGCAGCACGAGCCCCGGGUGGUCCUUGAGGACGUCGCAGACUCUGACCGGAGUCUUGAACUUGAAGGUUUGGCCGUCGAUCUUCAUGACCUUGGUCGUUUUCUUUCCUGCCAAGGCAUUCCCCAUUGGAAUUUUAUGAAGUAAAGCUUGAUUAUUUGAUUCCAAUGGAAGAAGACUCACAUGUGGGAGCUGCUGCUUGUUCAAAGUUUGACUUAUUUUAUGAAGUGUGUGUUUGUGGGUGGUUGUCGAUUUAUCUAAUGUUUGGUCAAUAAAAUAAGGCUGUCUUUGAAAAUCUUAUUAUAAUCCAUAAAUUAAUAACAUGCUUGUUACACUCUAAUUUUACACUCAAUUAUAUAGGUCAAACUUGGUUUCAUAUUAGGAAAAUAUAUUUUUAAUAAUUUUUUUUAUAAUUUUUUUACAGUUAAUUAUGUGAAGUCUUAAAUAUACAAAUUAAUAAAAUAGUGUUUAUUAUUAAAAAUGAUUAAAAAAGGUUAUUAAUAUAUCGUAUAGUAAGAUUCACACCCUUAUAAUAUGAUAAAAGAAGAAAAAAUGAAAAGAAAGCUCCAUAUGAAUAUAUGUAUUUCUAAGUGUAAACUAAUAAAGUUGUUAAAAAGUUUUGGAUUUUUCCUAUAAAACAACUUAAAGAGUCAAAGUAAAUUUUUUAUUAUUUAUAUAGUCCAACUUGAUUAAAAGUUUCAACUUCUUUAAACCUAAAAAAGUGAAGCUUGAAUAUCUCUUGUUUAACUCAUUUUGCUUUAUAAAAGACUUAAAACAAUUAUUCAUAACUUUAUCCACUAAUAACGUGAUUUUCUGUUCACUAAAUUUUUAUUUUAAUAGAACUUGCAAAAAUAAUGUAAAGAUAUACAAAAUAUGUUUUAAAUAAAAACACUGCUAGUAAAAUUGAAAUAUUAUAAAUAUAGAAGAUGUUUUAAAUAUUAUACAUAUAUUUAACUAUUUUCAAAAAAAAAAAAGAGAAUUUGAAAUAAAUUUCUCCGAAAACUACAACAAGUUUAUGCAUAAACUAAUUUAUAUAAUUUUUUUAUGUAACUUCUAUAACUUUCAAUCUUUUUAAUUUAUGUAUGCACUAAUAUCAUCUUACAAUAAAUCUGAUUUUAUCUCUUUUACUUAUUUUUAUGAGUAUUGAAGCAUACAUAUCAGACCCAAUAUAUUAGCUCUCAAACCACUUUUAUAUAUAUCGUGUUGAUUCAUGAGAGGGAAAAGACAAUAUUUUAUUAUCAUCUCUCUUUAUUAUGACAUUAUUUUCUAUAUUUUAUAUUUUUAUUCCUUGGUUCUCUUAUAAUUGUAUAAUUUAUUGUAUGAUUUGAUUAAUGUUUGUGAAAUGGAAAACACUAAAUUAUGAAGAGAAAAAUAGAAGAAUUGCUACACUGACACUCUCUGAUCGAGUUGGGGUUUGGUUGUUUUCCAACAACUCUGCUUUCAUAUUCUUAUCCCUUCAACGAUGCCACAAACGCCAAUCACGGAAGAACAAAACAAAAUUUCUAAUAACACCAUGCUUAGAUCAACACACGAAGGUCAAAUUUUAUUCAAAUGAAAUAUAAUAUGGUGUUGUGUUUAACUCUUUUAACUUUUUUUACCACAAUAACAAAUAUAAUUAAAGAGAGAUAAUUGGGUUGUCACAACCCUUAUACAAAAAAAGAGAAGAAAAAAAUUGAAAACAUCCAAGAACCAAAUUUCUUAUGGAUACCUUCUUAAUGUAAAUCAAAACAAAAAUAUAAAAAGAGAUAUUAGACAAUUGAGAAAAUCGAGAAGGAGGUUCACCUAAGAAACAUAAACAUCAAUGAGAUAUGAGUUCAACCAUAUAAGGAAUUGAUACUGCUAUUUACUAAAAGGUUAAAUAUAUGUUUUGGUACUCAUAUUUGUACCCAAUUUUCAAUUGGGUCCUCAUGUUUUUUUUUGUCCCAAUUGAAUCCAAAUAUUUGUUAAUUUGAGGCAAUCAAGCCCUCUCCGUUAACUUCCCACUAACUCCGUCUAACUGUGCUGAGCUGUUCAGAAGUUAAUUGGUCAUUUUAAAUGAUUUCAUUACAUGGAAAAUUUGCACGUGCAAAAUUAAAUUCCUCCAAAUUUUUUAGCCCUAAACCCUUAUUUAAAUUAAGACAUUGUUUCCCAUUCCAUCGUUUCACUCAAAGCCACUUGAGACUCAAAGUCGUUCCUCUGAGCGAGAAACCCAGAGAGGGGUUUGCUUCCCUUGCACACUCGUGUCACCGCUCCCAUCAGGCCAGCCACCACACCACCACCCUCUACUCAGUUUACAGUGUCGCCGCCACCGUCGAGCCAGCCGCCAGGGUUUCUUUUCAUGCUCAUCUUCAUGCGCGAGAGAACAUUGUUCUCGCCUCUCCACCCCGCAUUCUCGCUGUCGCGACGAUCUUCGUGCUCGACCUGAGGCGCCGCCGGCGAUACAAGUUGCCACCGCAGUCCUCGCCAGUCGCCGCGUCCGUGCCAACAAUGCCAACUUCCUCCUAUUCCUUCACCAGCGACAAAACCCUCUCUUCCGAUAAGUGAAUCAGAAAUGAAACCCAGUCCCCGACAUUGCGUCAUCCCCAUUCGACAUCCACACUCGCCGCCGACAACUAUCUUCUUUUCUCAACAUUUGUACUAUGAUGGGUUUGGCUCUUGGGGUUUUUGGUGGUUGAUAAGUGAAGUCGAACAGGAUGUUGAACUGAGUUGUAUUGGCGGCUAGGUUUGGGUUGUUAGGAUGGAUUGGUGUGUGAUGAUGGGAAGCGUGGUGGAGGUUAUGAAGUUGAUUUGGUCUUCUCUGUUUUAGUUUGAAUGCAGGGGAAAUAGUUGAGAAGUAUGAGAAGGAGGAUGGGAAUGAAAAUUUGGUGGAGAUGGAGAUGGUGGAAUGUUAUUGGUAGAAGUUGUGAGUGGCAAGAUGGCUACGACUUGAAUAUGAUUUGUUAUCUUCUCUGUUUUUCAAUUACUAAACAGUAUGGAGGGGAGAAGAUUAUCCUUUUUUGGGGUUUCAUCGUUGGAAGAAGAUGGAGGAAAAAAAUGAAAAUAACUGAUGAUCAUGAAGGCCUUUUUGUGCGAGAAGUUGAAUUUGGGUGUGAGAAGAAUCCUGUUGUGUGUGAUAUGUGUGGGUUUUUCGCUCUUAGAAACGAAAUAUGAGGAAGAAGCAUGUGGUUGUAUGUGAUGGUUGCAGGGAUGAACUCAGCUGGAGGGUCUGUGCGUGAGGGAGGAUGGUGAUGGUGAUGCUGGGUAAGGGUGGAGAUCAUUAAUAAAAGGCAAAGACGCAAACAGAGGAGGAUGACGAAGAAAGGGGAAUACUCCGGCAACCUCCUUCCUUCUUUUUGCUGGCUUCAUUUUGCUCUGUAGGUGAAAUGGGAAACAAUGUCUUGAUUUAAAUAAGGGCUUAGGGCUAACAAAUUUGGAGGAAUUUAAUUUUGCACGUGCAAAUUUUCCACGUAAUGAAAUCAUUUAAAAUGACUAAUUAACCCCUGAACAGCUCAGCACAGUUAGACGGAGUUAGUGGGAAGUUAACAGAGAGGGCUUGAUUGCCUCAAAUUAACAAAUAUUUGGAUUCAAUUGGGACAAAAAAAAACAUGAGGACCCGAUUGAGAAGUGGGCACAAAUAUGAGGACCAAAACAUAUAUUUAACCUUACUAAAACCUUUAAUUAAGAGAAUGAGUUAAUGGGUCUUUCAUCUUUAUAUAAUGUUCUACUCUCUCAUUUCUAUACAAUGUGAAGCUUAGACUCACUUUGAUUCCCAUAAUUUCCCUUUUAAAGGUGAGUCUCUUUCACAUAAGUACACUUCCCUUACAGUACAAGCAGUCAUAACCAACUACAACCACAAGUAAUUUUUUUCAUCCGUCGUUCAUCCAAGUGUGAUUAUUAUCACACAAAACACACUAUUUAUUUUCAAAAACUAUUUUCCCUUUUAUCUCUUUUGACCAUUUAUUAAUGAGCAAUCUCCAUGCAAAAAAUUGAGUAGAUCGUAGGGCUUUAGUCUUUCACAUGUUCUUCUAAUAUCUCUUCACCACGACUCAUGAUUAGAGUCUUUUACCUCAUUUAAGGCUCUCUAGAUUCAUAUUUUCAGUGUAUUUCUCCUGAAUCUAUGAUAGCAUUAAAAUCUCCUACCAUACACAUACCUAUCGUCGUUUUUACACCUACUUAUUUCUUCCUACAUAACCUUUUAUUCAUUAUAGUCACACCAGAAGUAUACAUUUACCACAGUCACUGGUGUUGUUUUUUAUCUUCCAUUUUCCUUCAAAAGACAACAAAACAUUUUCCCAAUUUUGAUUUUAUAAAAGUGUAAAUUCGCUUUUAUAUACUCAAUAAAUCCCAACACCAUUAUGCACCCAUUCUAUAUUAUUGAUCGUCCCAAAUUGUUUGGCAUUUCUUACUGAUUAUGUGUGCUAAUUUGUUUCUUGAAUACAUGCCAUAUCUACCAUAUGUUAUAAUUAAGAGGGUUUAUAUAGAAAAAAGAGUUGUUAAUUGUAGGUUUAAUCAUUCAGCCAAUCCUAAUUUUCGCGUGGAAUCUCAAUUUCGUCCCUUUCUUUUUCGUUUUCUCAAUUGGGUCCUAAAUUUUGAAAAAUUGGAUCAAUAAGAUCCUUUCCGUUAAGUUGGGGCUUACGGUGUUAACUGUGUGUGUGUGACGCGAAAACAAGAGUGAAUUAGUUAUAUUAACGUGGCUGACUUAGUUAAAAUGGAACUAAAACUACUAUUUAUUAAAAUUGAAAAAAGAGAAAGUUUUAUUAAAAUUGUAAAAAACAAUUUAUUAAAUUGGAAGAAAAGCAGCAAUGUUGAUGUGACUAAUAUUUUCACAGAAAUUUUGAUGUGACUAAUAAAAAGCUGAAAAAAAAACAAUUUUUUGAAUUUUAGAAAAAAAAACUCUGCAAUUGGAACAGACUCAGGUGAUUGAUGAAGAAGAGGACUAGCCCCCAAACCCUUUUUCCUUUUCUGACUUUCUAUAACCACACAAACCACAAAAAUCCCAUGAACUGGGAAGUUUGACGACUAAAACUUUAAUUUUCAUCUGAUAAAGAUUCAACCUUUCUUUGUUUAAGGUAGCCCAAAACAACCAAACCGAAAACUUCAGAUAAAAAAAAUGAGCAGUGCUUUUCGCAGGAACUCUGUUAAGAUUUCUCAUGUCAUGGGGAUGCAGAGGCGCUUCAUGUUGGUGAACCAUGUCAUUCAUCCAAUCAAAACCUCUUCUUUUCUCUACAACACAGUGCACUCUAAACCUUUCAUUCGAUUGACACAUUUCUUCAGAAAACCCAGAGAAUAUGAAAAUUCUUUGUCUUUGUUCUGUUCAUCUUUUUGCUCUUCUUCCUCUUCUUCUUCAUCUACUGUUGCAACUUCCCUCUCACGAGACCCCAAAUGAUGAAAUUGAUGACACUUUUGACGAACCCUAGCAGAACAAAUUUCUUCCCCUCAAUCCCUAAUUUGAAAACGUACCCUCCCAAUCCCAAUUAUAAAUGUUGCUGCUUUUCUUCCAAUUUAAUAAAUUGUUUUUUUACAAUUUUAAUAAAACUUUGCCUUUUUCCAAUUUUAAUAAAACAUUGCUUUAGUUCCAUUUUAACUAAGUCAGCCACGUAUAUAUAACUAACUGACUCUUGUUUCCACGUCACACACACAGUUAACACCGUAAGCCCCAACUUAACGGAAAUGAUCUGAUUGAUCCAAUUUUUCAAAAUUUGAGACCCAAUUGAGAAAACGAAAAAGAAAAGGACGAAAUUGAGAUUCUACGCGAAAAUUAGGAUUGACUGAAUGAUUAAACCUUAAUUGUACUUAAUAUAUAUAAUGAAAUAUUUGUUUAUAAAAAUAUAAAUGUAAUCAUGCAAACAAAUUUAAAUUGUUUGGUACGUAAAUUAUUCUCAUACUUACUAUACGAUAUCUUUUCAUGCUGAUAAUGAGUAUAUCGUUUUUAAAAUUACUAUAUAACAUUUCAUUGAGUAUAGAUUUGAUUUUGUUAUUAAUUUUCAAUGAAGUAUAUGUUAUGCGUUUCAAAGUAGAAGCUAGAAUUUGUCGGUUGUGCAAACGUGUUGAUUGUUUGAAAACCCAAACCAAAUUCCACACACGGAAAACACAAUUAUUCCACUUCAAUUGAUUUGGUGUAUGUGUAGUGAAAUUGGUUGACCUUUUUCUUGCAGGUAUCUUUCGAACACUCUAAGUUUCACCACCAAAGGGCUUUCAGAGUAGUUCAAAAGUGAUUUAGGUUCAAAUCAAUCUUUCUUCACAAUAUUCACAAAUCUGCUUCCAAAAAUUCAAAUAAAGUAAGCAUGGAAUUCAAGAGCAAUGUAACAUAUUUUCAAAAUGAAAGAAAAAGUUGUGAACCACAAAGAUCAAAUAUUAUAUAUAUAUAUAUAUAUAUAUAUAUAUAUAUAUAUAUAUAUAUAUAUUGUAUUGUAUGACCACCUUGUAUGAUCCCAUCCAACGAGAAAAUGGCGGACUAGUUUGGAAAUUAUUCUAAACAUUAAUGGACAGUUAAUGAGAAUAAUGGUUUUGAUUGACAAUUAACAGAAAUAAAAUCAUUUAUUGAUAAUUAAUGAAUCAGACCUAAUGAUAAACUUAUUAUAAUAUUUAUGAAUAUAUGAUUAUUCAUCUUUAUUAUAGAAUAUUAGAGUAAAUCACUGACUUGAGCAUAGGGGUGUCUUUGACAUGUACCCAUCUCAAUGUCAAAAACAUAAUAGAAUAUUUGAAUAAAUCACUUACUUAACCGUUCGUGUCUUUAAGAGAUACUCUCCCUCGUACCAAGGAUAAGGAGAAGAAAGAGAAUAUAUAUAUAUAUAUAUAUAUAUAUAUAUAUAUAUAUAUAUAUAUAUAUAUAUAUAUAUAUAUAUAUAUAUUAAAUAAGCAAUAUAAAUAUUGAUGUAUUUUAUUUUUAAUAUAUUAAAAAAUAUUACAAUUUUAGUAUAAAAUUUUACUUUUGUUAAUUAUUAAAAUGAUUAAAUAUCUCAUUAAAUUUUAGUAAUUGUUACAUAUCUUGAAAAAGUUAAAGUAAAAUAUAUUAGUAUUUAUUGUACUAAAAGGAUUACUAGGCUUCAAAUAAAUAAAUGAUUUAAAGUUUGAUUAGAAUCUAAAGUUGAAAGGUGAAGUUGAAAUUGAUGGGUGGGUCAUGAAAUUAGAAGUGGUGCAUUCAUUAGUCAAACAUUAUAUUAGGCUAAGUGUGAAUUUUUUCACUUCAUGUUGAAAAGUUACACUUUUGCUUUCUUCUUUAGCUGACUCAUUGUGCAUCAAACAAAUCUAUCUAUAAUUGGAAGCUUCUAAAAUGACAGAAAUCUCCCUCCCUUUUUUCUCCACAAUAACAUGUAGGUAGAAGUGAAGGCAAAGAACAAACACGUGUUUGGAAUAAAAUGCACAAUUUUUUACUUCUUUAUUCAAAAGUGAAGCAUGCUUAGUCCACAUUGUGUGAAGCCAAACACGCCCUAAAAGGCAAUUUAGCAUACCCAACUCACCUUCAAUUUCUGCUAUAGUUUUAUGGGUUUAAAAAGAACAUUGUAGUUAUGUGAUUUUUUUUAUGUUUGUCAUAAAUUUAGUUUGUUUAUUAAGUAUUAAAAAAAUUAUAAUUUUUCAGUUGAAUUUUUUUGUUUUUUCUAUUAACUGAGUUACAUAACUAUUAUCUUAUUAUGUUAUCUUAAUUUAUGUUAUUUUGUGUUAAUAUUAAAUGAUGUAAUUUUGUUCUUGAUACAAAAUUAAUGUGAUCUUGUUGAAUGAAAGUAAACAAAAUUGCAAAAGAAAGUGGUAUUGAAAAGGAAAUAAAAAAACAAAAUUGUGUUCAAUAAGGAUAAACGAAAAUAAAUAGAAAACUUAAAUAUUGAAAGGUUGCCAAAUAAAAAUAUGUUAGACCAUAAUAAUAAUAAUAAUAAUAAUAAUAAUAAUAAUAAUAAUAAGUCAUCCUUUAAUAAAAAAAAAAGGUAAACAAUUUUUAUACUCAACUAUACUGAUUGAAUGUUUUAAAUAGGUGUUUUAUUUUUUAGGUAGCUAGUGGGUAUACCAAAAUUAAGUUUUUUUCGAGCAUUAUUCAUCAGAUUUUAGUUACACUACUUUGAUUCCUGAAUAUACAAAAAGGUGCAAUUUUAGUCUUCAUCAAGUCACUGUACAUGACAUCAAUAGAUUUCAAUUAAUUAGUACAACUAAUAUAUGUGAUAAGAAUAACUGACCUAAUUAGAACAUGGGAGACUAAAAUUACUACGUAAGAAAUUAAAAUAAUAACAAUAAUAUAAUUCAGACCAAAAUAAAAAUAUAUACUUAUCAUUUCUUCUAGAUACUCACACCAACAACAUCACCUGCUGGUUUUGUUGGGUUGCUAGUUUUUAAUACCAUCAAGAUAUCGUGUACUAAUUUAAUGCUUAGAAAUGUUGUUUCAUUAAUGAGUAUUUAUUAAACAUCAAAUUGACUUUUCCAAUAACUUCAAAUGAAUAAUUAUUAAAUAAUAAAAAAUUGUUUGGAUAUCCCAUAAUGGGAAUUAUUGACUAAGAGCAGUUUGGCUAUGCAUUUUAAACAACUCAUAAAUUAGUCUUAUAAGCGUCACAUUAUGAAAUUUUGACUAGAAACAUUUGUUGUCACAGUUUAUUGUUAAACAAGCAUCGGUAGAAAACCCACAGAAAAGUAGAAAAGUUUAUAUAUAGCAGAUAGAGUAAUAAUACUAUAAUAUACUUUUAAAUUCAUUUGACACAAAAUAUAAGAAUAAAAUAGUCUAGAAAAACGUAAAAUUUUGUAGUUUUUCAAUAAAAAAGAGAAUAAAAAGUAAAUAAAAAUAAUGUCAAAUGAAUGUAAAAAAUUUAAGUGUGUCAAAGAAUCAUUUCUCAUAAUAGGUAUUAGAAACAAGAGCAGCCAAAUGGAUCAUAAUGCCCUUGAAUUAUAACAAACUCUUUCAUAACCAUGGAUUAAUGAUGUUUGCUUAAUUCGAACAAUGGAAAUGGAAUGCUUUUAUACAUAUGUUGUAUCUCCUUUACUUACUCUCACUUCUUCAUUGUUUCUUUUUGAGUUAUUAUUGUCUUAGCUUCUUCUACUUCUGGGUUUGUUUGUAUUGUCUAAGUUCUGGUUUUGUGGUGAAUUGAUGGUAGUAUCGGUGUAUCGGUGGUGGUUUUGGAUGUUCGUGCUAAUAAUUGUUGUGGUCUGAUUCAUCGUAAGAGAAUAUUGAAUCUAAGUUAAGAAACACAACUGACAUUGGAACAACGGUUAAAAACUCGUUAGUGUUUGAACGUUAAUUAAAAGAUACCAUAAUUUAAAAUAUGACAGAACUUUAAUCAACUUUCGAACACUAACAAGCCCUUAACCGUCAUUAAAAACUGGUUUUCAAAAUUUGGUCGAUUGAUUUUCGAAUACCGAUUAAAGAUUCAAUGUGAAUUGAAAUGCAAUGGUCAUUUAAAUUUUAUUUUAUUUUGUUUAUAAUAUAUUUGUUUAUUUUAUUAUAUCUCAAUGCUUUUUUAUUUUAUUUGUAAUAUCUUUAUAUUUAUUAUUUAAAUUUUAAUAUGUAUUACUUUUUAUUUAUUAGUUAUCUUUAAUUUUUUUUACUUUUAUUAUUUAUAAUUAUAUUUCUGUUUUUAUUUAUUAUUUAGUUUUGAAUAUUCUUUUAUUAUUUUUUACGUAUUAGUUAAUUCUGUAUUUACCAGUUAAUUUUUAUACAUGUUAAUGUUUUUAAAGUUGCAUUUAAUUUUUGAUAACUUUUUGUUUUUUUAUUUAUUAUUUAGUUUAUAAUAUUUUUUUGUUAUUUUUUAUUUAUUAGUUAACCUUUUUAUGUCUUAAUCUUUUUAACUUUUGAUUCCACUUAUAAUGUGUUUAUAUUUUGUAAGUAUUAUUUCAAUUUUAAAAUGUUUUAUUAUUUGUUAUUUAUUAGUUAAUUUGUAAUAAUGUUUUUAGCAUUUAAUUUAAUUUAUAAUAUGUUAAUUUUGCUUAAUUAUAAUAUAAUUGAUAUUAUGUUUAGUUGUUUUUUAUUUAAUUUUUAAUUUAUGUCUUAAUGUUUAUAAUUUUUUUUAUUUAAUUUAUAAUAUGUGUAUGUUUUUUAUUUAUUAUAUAAUGAUUAAUAUGUUAUGUUGUUUUUAUUUAUUAGUUAAUUUUUAAUAUUUGACAAUGUUUUCAAUUUUUGAUUUAAUUUAUAAUGUUUUUUUUAAUAUGUAAUGUUUUUUUUUAUUUUUAAUAUGUGAUGUUUUUUUAUGUAUUAUUUAAUUUUGAAUUUAUGUUGUUGUUCUUAUUUGAUUGAUGAAUAUUUAGCAAUAAUUAUGUUUAUUGUAGGUUGUAAUUAUAAGAUGAAUUUAACUAUCCAUUCGAAUUAAUUCAUUCUAAAAAUAAAUCCGAGUUUUGUGUUCAAAUUUUCUUUUUUUUUUUUAAAUGAAGUGACUGAGGGUGAUAAUACAAAUAAAUUUUCCGCUUAUCGAAUAUUCUCCUCAUAUGAUGAUUUAAUUGAAUGGGUUCGAAAGAUUGCAUUCGACCUUGAAUUUCUUUUUGUCAUUACAAGAUCUAACACAACAACUAUUGAAGCUGGAAGAAUGACAUUCGUUUUGUUAGGUUAUAAAAGGAGUGAGAAGCCUAGAAAGUAUAAACCAGAUGUUCAACCUAAUGUAUUGGGGACAAAAAAAAUGUGAGUGUCCGUUUAGGUUGAGGGGUAAACCGAAAGGGUUGGGUUUUAAAGGUUAUGUGCGACAUCACAACCAUGAAUUAGCAGAGACUUUGGUUGAUCAUCCUUUUGCUGGAAGGUUAAAUGGUGUUGAAUAAUCAAUUGUUGUUGACAUGACUAAGAGUCGAGUUAAAGCCUUCAAAUAUUCUAUUGACUCUAAAAAAACAUAAUGAUAAUAUUGUGACAACUAUAAAGCAAAUAUAUAAGUGAGGUAUACAUACAAAUGUUUUCUGAGAGAGUCAAUAACUGAAAUGCAGUAGUUGAUGACAAUGUUAGAUAUAGAUAAAUACAUCCAAUAGAGUAGAUAUUUGGACGAUCCCAACGUGGUAGUGCCAUCUAAGCUUAUGUUAACCAUUUCUAAGCUCUCUCCCCCAAUAAACAAUUUUUCGGCCAGAACUACAUGAUCCUUGAUUCUCCAUCAAGAGUGGAGAUACGUAGGAGCAAGGCCAGUCAGUUCUCUUCUCAGGUUCAAUUCCCAAAAUCCAAAUCUUUUCCAAACAAAUUUUCUGAAUAAUUUCCCAAACAAACUUCUCAAAUAGAAUUUCAAAAGAACUACGUUACCUUGAUUUCGCAUUUUGAAUGAGAAUAUGUAGGAGCAAGGUCAAUCCUUGUCGGGCUCCAAAAUUAUAAAAUAUCUUUUGUUUCUUUAUAGUGUCAUUUUUAGGGAUAAUUAAACAUUCUGAAAACCACAUCACAUUCGCGCAUUUAAUUAAAGAUAUUGUCUUAGGGUAGGCGUUGUAGGGGGUGCUAAUACGCGUAACCGACUCCCGAACCUAGAAUCCGAUUUUAGCAGACUAAGUCUUUUUUUAUGGUUUUUCUGUAGUUUUCCAGAAUAAACUAUGUUGGCGACUCCAAAACUCUUUUUUCAAACUUGUUCCUCUUUUUAGAUCGUUGUCCCAUUACGAUUCUGGUUGUGAUACCCACCAUCAACUUGAACUUCUUAAACAUCUCAAAUGCUUUUGAUUUCUUUUGUAAGAAAGACACACAGGUCCUCCGUGAGAAGUCAAUGAAAUAAAGUAUUUUAUACCAAUGAAUGAAUUAAGAGAAAUUAGUCCACACAAGUCAUUGGGUAUUAGAUCGAGUUGCUCUUUUACCUUGUACAUAGUUGAGUUUGGAAACUUGGUUUUUGGUUGUUUUCUGAGCACACAUUAUAAAAAUUCUUCUCAAUUUCUAUACUGGGUAGUUCGAGUAAUAGUCCCUUCCUUGACAGCUCAGCCAAGCUUGCAAAGUUAAGGUGUCCAAUCCAGAAGUGUCAUAUCAUAACUUCAUCUUUCAUGUACAACUUCAAACACCUCUUAUGCAAGAUCUUCAACUCAAAAUUUAUACAUCCCGUUUUUCUUCAUUUCUACCUAGGCUGCAAGAUGGCCAUGCUUAUUCUUCAAAUAUAGUACUUAUUCCUUCAUUAUAACUAAGUUUCCUUUUUCCAUCAUCUCACUUAUGCUAAAAACAUUGCUCUUUAGCUCAAAAACAUAGUUGACGUCCCUGAUUUCUCCAACUCAUCCAUUUUUCUAUGUGUCAGAUUGUUCCACCCCCUUUUUUCAUUCACUCUAGAAUAAUCUCUAAAUGACGUGAAUCUGGCCUCUACCUUGGUGAGUUUAUCAAAGAAAUUCUCAUUUCCACACAUAUGAUUGCUAACUCUAGUGUCUGGAUACUAAAUCGAGUUGGUAGAAUUCUUUUCAGCCUUUGAUUUCAAUCAUGUCACUACAUUUGUGUUCACCACUUUUUAUUUCGAGUUCUCCUCCGUCAUUUUUUGAAUAGUUCCUAAGCCUUGUUGAGCUCUUCAAUCGUGUUGUUGAGAUUUUAAAGCAUGUUGUCAUGCUUUACUAACUUGAUUAUGGGCUCUAUAUAGUCGAUUUCUUAAGUAACUCAACAUCUCCUGACUUAAGCUCGUCACAGCUCAGCCUAACAAGUUCAUAGCUCGGUAGUACUUCGUUUGAGCUCACCACCUUUAUUAUUGUGUUCCCUAUCUCUUUUGUCGGGCUCUUUGGCAACUCAGCCCUAAACAGAUCGGUCUCCACCUACUUAGUUUCAACCAACUUGGGACACGCUUCUCGACCUCAAAUACCCUAGCCUUCACCAGCUAAACUUUAGACAACCUAGACUUCAUCUGCUCGGCCUUAAACAACCUAAUCUUUUGUUGCUCAACUCUAGACACCCUGGUAUGAAUUUGCUCAACCUCAAACAACCCGAUCUUCUUGUCCUUAGCUUCAAACAAUCUAGUUUGAUCAACCCUAGGUCUCCUUUUUAGGAGCAUGAUGUCCGAGCUUUUUGACAGCAUUAAAAUCCCCAUCUCCUUUUCAUCUUCUGUUUACUAAAAUUAUAAUAUCUAAUUUAUAUUAUACAAUUUUUGUAAUAAUAAUAAUAAUAAUAAUAAUAAUAAUAAUUGUUUCGGUUAGAUUGGUCUGAUGUUCGAUCGUCCUUCCUUGCGCUUGUUCUCUUCUGAUCAUCCAAUCCUCUCCAAGAACGUAAUUCACCAUGGGUUGUUGACCUGCAGAAGACACUCUGAUGCUCAAGUUAGAUAUAUUUCAUAAAGAGGUCACUAUUUUAUUAAGAUAGAUCAAAGAUAUCUUUACCUGGAUAUCAAUUGUAUAUUUAUAGGACUUGUGGAAGCCAAACCCCUUGAUUAACCAUUAAUGCAGUAUAUUUUUAGGCAAUCAAACCCAAUAAUCAAUUAUUAAUACCGAAUAUUUGUAUAGCAUAAGGAAAUCUGAUCCAUUAAUACCUGUUAGCUGCUAAAAAACGACCAUUAACUUCGAUCAGUAUAUUUCAUAUAGUACAUAAGUCCCCCAAGUCCAAGCAAGCUCUUUAUUGGAAAAGGUGCACAAGGAUUAUUAUGAGCUUAAGAGAAGUCGCUCAUGUUGUGUUAGGAAGUCUAUUUUCGAAGCGCUUUAAGUCUUCAUUCCUUUCUGUACCGAGCGGCGAACUUUAGGAGUUCUCUUUGGAACUGUUCCCUAGACUAAGCAGAAAAUGCCAGGAGUUCUCUUUGGAAUUUUUUCCUAGGUUGAGUAGUAGAUGCUAGGAGUUCUCUUUGAAACUUUUUCUUGGGCAAUAAAUUUUCAUUCUAAAAACUAUGCGUUAAAGAACAUAAAAUAAACGCUUCAAUAUUUUAUAAUCUAUUUUUAUAAUGAAAAGGCAUUGGAACCUGACAAAGCUGAACGUAGGUGGUCCGAGUGGGAAGGGACUGAACUUGAUGAGUAGUCGACCAAUAGGAGUUCUUUUUUGAACUUUUCCUAUGUUCAGUGAAGGCACUAUAAGUUCUAUGUGAACUUUUUCUCUAGGCCGAGCAGCGACUAUUAGGAGUUCUUUUUUAGAGUUUUUUCCUAUGUUGAGCGAAGGCACUAGAAGUUCUAUAUGAACUUUUUCUCUAGGUCGAGCGACGACUGAUAGGAGUUCUUUUUCAGAACCUUUUCCUAUGCUGAACGAAGGCAUUAGAAGUUCUAUAUGAACUUUUUCUAGUGAAAGAAAUCUUCACUCACAACAAAUAUACGUUAAACAAAAUAAAAUAAAUUCUUUAUAAUUUAUUUUUAUAAUGAAGAGCCAUUAGAACUGCCAGGGCUGAGCGUAGGUGGUCCAACUAACCGAGCGGGAAUGGACUGAACCUUCUUGUGCAGGAUAUUUUUGCUCACAAAAAUAUGCGUUAAAUAAAAUAUUUAAUAUUUUAUAAUGAGAAGUCAUUAAAACCUGACAAGGUUAAACUUUGGUGGUCCAAUUGACUAAGUCGUAAGGGAUUGAACCUUCCUAUGUAGGAUAUUGUUACUCACAAAAAUAUGCGUUAAAUAAAAUAUUCAAUAUUUUAUUUUUAUAAUGAGAAGCCAUUAGAACCUGACAAGGUUAAACUUUAGUGGUCCAACUGACCAAGCGAUAAGGGACCGAACAUUCUUGUGCAGAAUAUUUUUACUCACAAAAAUAUGCGUUAAAUAAAAUAUUCAACAUUUUAUUUUUAUAAUGAAAUGACAUUAGAACCUGAUAAGGUUGAACAUUGGUGGUCCAAUCGACCAAGCGGUAAGGGAUUGAACCUUCUUAUGCAGGAUAUGUUUACUCACAAAAAUAUGAGUUAAACAAAAUAAAGCAAAUGCUUCAAUAUAUUAUAAUUUAUAAUUUAUAUUGAAAAGUCAUGGGAACCUGACAAGGUUGAACGUAGGUCUGAACCUUCCUGCGCAGGAAAUUUUUACUCACAAAAUUGAGUUAAACAAAAUAAAGUAAAUGCUUCAAUAUAUUACAAUUUAUAAAUUAUAAUAAAAGGUCAUUGGAACCUGAUAAGGUUAAACGUAACUUUGAACAUUGUUGUGAGAAAUAUUUUUACUCACAAAACUAAUAUGUUAAGGAAAAUAAAAUAAACCUUCCAAUAUAUUAUAAUUUACAAAUUAUAAUAAAAAGUCAUUGGAACCUGAUAAGGUUGAACAUAUGUCUGAACCUUCCUAUGCGAUUUUUACCCAAAAAAUGAGUGAAACAAAAUAAAGUAAACCCUUCGAUAUAUUAUAUUUUAUAAAUUAUAAUAAAAAGUUAUUGGAACCUGAUAAAGUUGAACGUAGGUCUGAACCUGUGCAUGAUAAUUUUACUCACAAAAAUAUGAGUUAAAUAAAAUAAAGUAAACACUUCAAUAUUUUAUAAUUUAUAAAUUAUAAUAAAAAUUCAUUGGAACGUGACAAAAUUGAAUGUAGGACUGAACCUUCCUGAAAAUUCUCAUAACAAAAGACAUGCCUUUAAAAUUAUUAUGGAAUUUUUUACUCUUGUUGCAAAACCUAGUAUUGAUAUGAAGUAGCGAUGUCGACACUGAGCGCGCUUCUAGUUCAUCGUGACUUCAUGGGGAUGCCCCUCGGCCCCACGGUGGAUGCCAAAAUGUUUCGGUUGGAUUGGUCUAAUGGUCAGUCGUCCUUUCUUCCUCUUGUUCUCUUUUGAUCGUCCAAUGCUCUUUGAGAACGUAAUCCACCUGAUGCUCUAGUUAGAUAUAUUUCAUAAAGAGUUCACUAUUUUAUUAGGAUACAUCAAAGAUAUCUUUACCUGGACAUCAAUUAUAUAUUUAUAGGACUUGUGGCAGUGAAGUCCCUUGAUUAACCAUUAAUACAUUACAUUUUUAGACAAUCAAACUCAAUAAUCAAUUAUUAAUACCGUAUAUUUGUAAAACAUAAGACAAUCUGACUAUUAAUACGUGCUAGCCCCACAUAAACGAACAUUAAUUUUAAUCCGUAUAUUUCAUAUAAUACAAUACUAAUUUUAGAUACUAAUAAUUUUUAAUUUAUAAAAUAAUUUUUUGUUACUACAAUAACUAAUAUUAUAAGCAGUUUUCAAAUUAGUCUAUAUUUAAUUAAUUUUUGGCUUAAACCCUUCCUUGGUCCUAAUAUUUGUGUGAAAAUCUCAGUUUGGUCCUCAAGUUUUGAACUGUCGCAAUUGGGUCAUAAUUUUUGUAAAAAUGCACACAUUUUACCCCAACUGUUAACUGGUCUCAGACGACGUUAAUUGAUGUUGAGAUGUAUUUUUUAUUUUAGGCUUAAUCCCUUCCUUGGUCCUUAUGUUUGUGUGAAAAUCUCAGUUCGGUUCUCAAGUUUUUUCUCAAGUCCUUAUGAAUGCAAACAUUUUACAACAUUUUACCUCAAUCGUUAAGUGUAUUGAGAUGACGUUAACUUUGAACUGAGCUGUAAUUAUCUUUUUUAUGUUUUAAAAUCAUUAAAUCCACGUGACUAUGGUCUUUUUUUUCCUUCCAAUCACUGAUCACAUUUCACUCAUUCCUCCACCCUCAAACCCUCAAACCCCCCGACUGACACCUUUUCUCCCUCUCAAACUAAAAAAUGUCGCCGUUGUCGACAGUUCAAAAAUUAUGACCCAAUUGAGACAAUUCAAAACUUGAGGAUCGGAUUGAGAUUUUCACACAAACAUAAGGACUAAGGGAGGGAUUAAGCCUAAAAUAAAAAAUACAUCUCAACAUCAAUUAACGCCGUUUGAGACAACUUAACGAUUAGGGUAAAAUGUGUGCAUUUUUACAAAAAUUAUGACCUAAUUGAGACAGUUCAAAACUUGAGGACCGAACUGAGAUUUUCACACAAAUAUUAGGACCAAGAGAGUGUUUAAGCCUUAAUUUUUUAUAGUGUUAGUAACAUUUUAGUAAAAUACUAUUAUUGAGUAAAUUAAUUUAUCUACGAUAAUAUUAUUUAAAAGUUAAUCAACAUUAUUUAUAGUAGCACUUUUUAAAAAUAUUAUUAUAGGAUAUAUAUAUAUAUAUAUAUAUAUAUAUAUAUAUAUAUAUAUAUAUAUAAUAACAUUUUUAAUAAAUAUAAUCAAGAAAAUAUUGCUAAAACUUAUAAAAUUCUACAGUGCACCUUGGAGAUGAUAUUAAUGUGUUUGGUGCAUACCUGUACUACAAUUUCAUCUUAUUGGUCCUGUGACUUCUUCAUUUCGUUUCAUUUUAUUAUAGAAUCAGGAAAUUUAAAAGAACUUGAUUUUAUAUCUUCUGUAAAAACAAACCUUAUUUGUCAGUAUUUUCACACGAACAAGAAUCACGUAAACACAUACAGAGUGGAAUAUAAACAGUAGCCAAAUCAAUUGUUUAAGUUAUGAUGAUCUUCAUUUUUUGUACCAGACUCUGCCAGAGAUGGAACGACAUUUUCUUCAUCCAACUUUGACUCGGUCAAGCUCUCCACUCUCUCCUUCUUCAGCAUCUGUGCCAUAUCAUAAGAGGAAUGCAAUCCCACAAACAGGUAAUACACCAGUAGAAUCGCAGUCCAGAAUCCAAAUCUUCUGAACGAAGCUUUAUCCAACGAACCAAGAAGGAAAAUAUUGAUUCCAAUGGAAGCUGAUGGCAGGAACGGCACCAGUGGCACACCCCAAACCUUUGGCUUCUUCGUCAUCGGAACCAAAAGCCAAAUCCCCACUGUUCCCAUAAGCCAAAGCGGCACUAUGAUGAUGUAACCAACCCAUUUCGUGGUGUUGGCCCAGUAAACAGCUGAGGCAACAGAAGAACCCAAUAUGAGAGCAAUGCAGAGAACGAACUUCACAAUGUUGGCUUGUGUAGCCACCCCUCUUGCACAGUAGCGGCGAACCAACAGGGCCAGCGCCACAAGGGAGAACAAGAAGAGAGUGGAAAUCGAAAGAAGGUUAGCAAGAACAUCAAGUUUUGUGAAGAAUGCAACAAUGGCAGUGGCACCAAGCAUGACAACUGUGGCAUUGAUGGGUGUCCCAGUUCUCUCAUUUACCUUGCAGUAAAAAGGGUUGUUUGUGAGAAGUCUAUGUUGUGUUGUUGUGUUUGUGUUAUUUUGGCAACAUUUGUUUGUUGUUACAUACCUUAGCAAGCCAUGGAGGUAGCAACUGUGUUCUAGCAAUGUGAGUGAGAUACCUGGCUUGUCCCACAGCACCAACAAGGAGAACACUCGUCAUUCCUUUCAAUGCCCCAAAUGCAACUAUGUACUUCGCCCAGCUCAUCCCUACCGCUUCAAACGCCACAGAGAAAGCAGCAUUCUCGUCAACCUCUGAAAACCUCUGCAUCAAACAGAGGGUCACCGACAGCAUGCAGUACACAAGCGUGGUGCACGUCAUCGACCCUAUCAGCCCCAACGGAAUGUCCCUGCCAGGGUUCUUCGUCUCCUCCGCCAUGGUGGAAACCGCGUCGAACCCCACGUACGCGAAGAACAACACCGCCGCCGCCUGCAAGUAGGAUGGAUCAGAUUCAUCAACCAAACUACAGUAAACUAGCUCCAAAGAAUUGGACAAUGAAUCAACUAAUCAAUCUCAACAACUCAAACUGAUUUUGAAUCAUGUAAAUGAUCAAGUUUUCUUUACCUGGAAGAUGCCGCGGGAUCCGAAUGGAAGAAAGGAGGAGUAGUUAGCGGCGUUGGCUUUGGUGAGGCCGGCGACGAUGAUGAAGAGGAGGACGAGGAGGUGGAGGAUGGAGGCGAGGUAGUUGAAGCGGGAGGAGCCCUUGGUGCUGGAGAUGGCGAAGAGGCCAAUGAUGAAGAGGACGGCGACGGCGAUGGGGUCGAGGUGGCUGUAGUCCGCAGAGAGGUGGUGGGCAUGGAUGAGGAACUUGUCGGAGUCUUGGUUGCAGAGAGUGGCGAAAUAGGAGGUCCAGGAGCGAGCCACGGCGGCGCCGCCCACCACGUACUCCAGAAGGAUGUUGCCGGAUGCAAUGUACGCCACGAAAUCGCCGAGCUCGACUCUCAGGUACGCAAACGAACCGCCUAAUAAUUAUCCAUUUAUAUACCUGGGUGAGGUUUGAAAAACACGUGCAAAGAAGUAGCAGAAGAAAGAAAGAUACCAGCGACGGGAAUUUCGACGGCGAAUUCGGUGUAGCAGAAGACAGAAAGCAUGGCAGAGACGCCGGAGAUAACGUAGGACAAAACGACGGCGGGUCCGACGUGGUUCCUGACCUCAAAGCCGGUGAGGACGAAGAUGCCGGAACCUAUGACGCUGCCCAUUCCGAACCAUAUGAGAUCCCACCACGUAAGAGUCUUCUUCAUCUCAUGGUGGCUGCGCCGCUUCACUUCAACCAACUCCACCUCCUCCAUCGACCGACCCGUCAUUCGAUCCACUAGCCUCCACGGCGUCGCCAACAACGCUCUCUUGUACUUUGAUAAGCUCUCGAACGACUCCAACGUUAUAGCCUCAGAGUACCUUCUGUUCUCGUCGUUUCCCUCCAUUCUUCUUCUGCAUGCUCCUCAAAAACAGAUAACUUGAUCCACCAUAACCAACCAAAAUUUAAUAAAACUUAUAUUAUAUGUUUCCUUCAUUUUGUAAACCUAUUUUAGCAUUUUCUUGAGAUAUUUUUUCGCUUAGAAAGUGAUGUUAGCAACCUUAUUGCAUUUUCUCUUGUACUUUGAUAAUUUAAUAAUCACACGUUUUAUUUGGUGAAGUUGUUUGAGGUUAAGAGGGCCUUUAUGAUUGUUGGACUUAUGGGAAUUAAGUAUGAGAGGAAUUUUGUGUCUGAUGUGUACAAUGCUAAAUUAGUAAAAGGACAAUGAUAUUUUGACAACACUUUUUGACAACGGGAUACGUGCCAUCAUUUUAUUGGUCUAUUUGAAUUUAUGUUUAAAAAAUAUUUAAAACGGACCAACCAUAAACUGCCACGUAUGCGUUGUCAAAAAGUUGUUAAAAAAGUGUUGUUAAAAGAAGUUUUUCCUUAGUAAAAAGGGUUUCAGUCAAAGAUAGAGUGUUGAUUUUAGUGAGAUUUUUUCACCAAUUAUAAAAGUGUCACCCAUCCAAGUUACGUUAAGUUUAAGGAAAAUGUUUCUUUGACAACGGAAAUUUGCCAACGAUUUGCCAACGAUACGUGGCAUCCUCUGAUUUGCUUUUUUAAUUGCUUUUGUUUUAAUGUUAAAGUUUCAUUUGGAGGGUAUUUUUGGGAAGAGAAUUUCUGAAACCAAAAGAUUUUGCGCCCCUUCUUCCCUACGAAACACACACUCUCUCUGGAAAUUUCAAUCGAAACUCUCGAUUCCCAAAGUCUCCGUCCACCAUUGUGAACUCUCAAACUGUUGCUCGACCAUUGUGAACUCUUGACAGGCCACCGAAGCGCCCCUUCUUCCCUAUGAAACACACUAUCUCUCUCUGGAAAUUUCAUUCGAAACUCUCGGUCCCCAAAGUCUCUGUCCACCAUUGUGAACUCUCAAACUGUCUCUCUGACCAUUGUGAACUCUUGGCAGGCCACCGAGAAAUAUGAAAGCAGAUCAAUACAGCUAAAGUAUUGUUCAUGAAUUAUUACUGAAGAUGAUUUUAUGUGUGUUUAAUUGAUUACAGUCAUGCUAUAAUAGCUUACCAGUGCCUGUGUAAGCGAUUAUAGACAUGUUGUAAUCGCUUACAGGUGCCUCUGUACCAAAAGUCCAACGCUGCUCCCUGCCUCUUUUAGAGGGGGCUCCCCAGUGUGUGGUAGGUACUGACUUAGUCAGAAAUUAAGUUAUGAAUUUGAGAUUAAUGGUUGUUUUUUAGGACCAACAACUGGUUAUGGGUUUGUUAGGGUAUUUGAUCCAAGUGCAUGUNNNNNNNNNNNNNNNNNNNNNNNNNNNNNNNNNNNNNNNNNNNNNNNNNNNNNNNNNNNNNNNNNNNNNNNNNNNNNNNNNNNNNNNNNNNNNNNNNNNNNNNNNNNNNNNNNNNNNNNNNNNNNNNNNNNNNNNNNNNNNNNNNNNNNNNNNNNNNNNNNNNNNNNNNNNNNNNNNNNNNNNNNNNNNNNNNNNNNNNNNNNNNNNNNNNNNNNNNNNNNNNNNNNNNNNNNNNNNNNNNNNNNNNNNNNNNNNNNNNNNNNNNNNNNNNNNNNNNNNNNNNNNNNNNNNNNNNNNNNNNNNNNNNNNNNNNNNNNNNNNNNNNNNNNNNNNNNNNNNNNNNNNNNNNNNNNNNNNNNNNNNNNNNNNNNNNNNNNNNNNNNNNNNNNNNNNNNNNNNNNNNNNNNNNNNNNNNNNNNNNNNNNNNNNNNNNNNNNNNNNNNNNNNNNNNNNNNNNNNNNNNNNNNNNNNNNNNNNNNNNNNNNNNNNNNNNNNNNNNNNNNNNNNNNNNNNNNNNNNNNNNNNNNNNNNNNNNNNNNNNNNNNNNNNNNNNNNNNNNNNNNNNNNNNNNNNNNNNNNNNNNNNNNNNNNNNNNNNNNNNNNNNNNNNNNNNNNNNNNNNNNNNNNNNNNNNNNNNNNNNNNNNNNNNNNNNNNNNNNNNNNNNNNNNNNNNNNUCCCUGCCUCUUUUAGAGGGGGCUCCCCAGUGUGUGGUGGGUACUGACUUGGUCAAAAAUUAAGUUUUGAAUUUGAGAUUAAUGGUUGUUUUUGAGGACCAACAANUNGUUAUGAGUUUGUUAGGGUAUUUCAUCCAAGUGCAUGUGUGAGGAAGAUGAACUUUGUGACUUAUGUGCCCGUGUAAUCGAUUACAGAGUGACUGUAAUCGCUUACCAGUGCCUUUGUACCAAAAGUCCAACGCUGCUCCCUACCUCUAGUAGAGAGGGCUCCCCAGUGUGUGGUGGUACUGACUUGGUUAGAAUUUAAGUUAUGAUUUUGAGAUUUCUGGUUGUUUCUUGAGGACCAACAACUGGUUANGGGUUUGUGUGGUUUUUUAUCCAAGUGCAUGUGUGAUGAAGAUGGACUUUGUGACUUAUGUGCCCGUGUAAUCGAUUACAUAUUGGCUGUAAUCGCUUACCAGUGUCUCUGUACCAAAAGUCCAACGCUGCUCCCUACCUCUGGUAUAGGGGACUCCCCAGUGUGUGGUGGGUACUGACUUGGUUAGAAUUUAAGUUAUGAUUUUGAGAUUAUUGGUUGUUUUUAGAGGACCAACAACUGGUUAGGGGUUUGUGUGAUAUUUUAUCCAAGUGCAUAUGUGAGGAAGAGGGACUUUGUGACUUAUGUGCUUGUGUAAUCGAUUACAGACAGUCUGUAAUCGCUUACUUGUGCCUCUGUACCAAAAGUCCAACGCUGCUCCCUGCCUCUAGUAGAGGGGGCUCCCCAGAGAAAAUGGAAAACCUAAAAUGGAGAGAGAUAAAGAAUUCCAAGGACAAAGUCUGAUUAAAACGCUUGAGGGUGUUUUCGGAAUACCACAAAACACCUUUUCAUAUCAGUUUUUUAGUUGAAAAAAAAAAUUAAAAAUGACAAAUAGAAUCAUGACGCGUUGGCAAAUCGUUGGCAAAAAUUCGUUGUCAACGUAUCCCUACCCUAAGUUUAAAUGCUACUGUUGGUUUUAAGGUAGAGCAAAUGGAUGUGAAAACUACUUUUACUUCGUAGUGCUUUGUAGGAAGAGAGAUUCAUAUGAUGCAAUCAGAUUUCCUUGCUCAAGGUAAGAAAGACUAUAUGUAGGUUGAGAAAGAGCAUACAUUUUGAAGUAAACUUCAAGAUAAGAUUUUAAGAAGGUUCACUCUAUUAUAUGUCAUGUUAUUAUAUGUUGAUGACAUGUUUAUUGUUGGAAAAGAUAUUUUCUGAAUUGAUACUAUAAAAAAGUAGUUGAAUGAAUCAUUUGCCAUGAAUAAUGUGAAAAGUGAUAAAUGAAUUCGUGAUACAAGAAUUUGAGGUAGGAAGGAGAAUAUACUUUGUUUAUCACAAAAACAAGUUAGUAAGUAUUUUUUUUGUGUUACUCACCUUUAUUUAAUUUGUAAAAGUCCAUAAAAUGAAGCUAAAAAAAAUAAGCAUGCAAUAGGUUCCUUAUGCAUCUAUAAUAGGUAGUUUGAUCUAUGUAAUGGUGUGCACAAGAUCAAAUAUAGCACACAUUAUUGUUAGAAUUAGUAUAUUUUUGUUAAACUUUACUAGAGAACAUUACAAUGUUAUAUAAUGGAUUUUGUAGUGUCUUUAUGGUAUCAAUAAUAUUAAACUCUCUUUUGAUGGUGAUAAAGGUAAUUUGGUGAGAUGCUUAAAUUCAUAUAUGGUUGGAGACAUUAAAAAAAUCCACUUCAUGUUAAUUUUGCAAGGAGAGUUAUGACAUAAAAGCCAGUACAAAUGUGUGUAGCUUUCUCUAGUGGAGAGUAGAGCUGUCAAAAUAGGUAAUUCGACUCGAUCCGGCCUGAUCCAUCACGGGUUGGUUACUUAGUGAGCCAACCCAACUCGGCUCACUUAUAGGCGAGCUGAAAAAAUUCGAAUCCAGUUUGAUCCACCACAGAUUGGUAUGUUAAACGGGUUGGCUCACUGACUCAUUUAAUUAUAAGUUUUUUUUAAAAUAAAAAAAAAUCAUUUUUUUUAAUUCAAAUCUAAAUACACACCACACUAAAAUCAUGUUAAACUCCAAAGACAAUUCAAAAUAAAUAAAAAAGUAUCAUACAAUCCAAGCAUAAUCCAAAAACAUGUACAAAAGGCGAACAAAUAAGUUUUUAAUAUUGACAAUUUUUGUAUGACUUGUUCGUUUAUAAUAUUAGAAUCUUGAAUAUAUAAUAUUUUUCUCUCUUGAAACAUAUUUAUCAUCAUCUAUAAUAUAAUCAAAAAAAUGUUAAUUAAUAAUAUUGAAACAUAAAAUAAUAAAUAAUUAAAUUAAAUUAGGUGGAUUGACGAGCUAACCUGGCUCCCCACGAGUUUAACCAGUGAGUUAGGUUCUAAGUGAACUAGAUUGAUCUACAUAAAAAAAUUAUAUUUUUUUCAAACCGAAUCCAGAUUAAAUUCGUGAUGAGUGGGAUUGGUAUGAAAUUACAAAGCAUUUUGAAAAUAGUAGUGAAGAAACAUAAUUCAUUCUCAUUACUAAAUCAUUAAAGAUUUAUUAUAGGUGAAACAAAUUAUUGUGAAUACUUUGGUCUUUCUUAAAAAAGAUAUCUAUUAUUAGUCAGAUUGUUAUUAUCUUCUCAUAUUUUUAUUAUUUUGUAUUUCUCUUAUAAUUUUAUAAGUUUAGAGAGUGUAUUAACUUUAUUAUUUUAAUCUAUUCAACAUUAAUAUUAUAUUUUACCUACUAUAAUGUUUUGACCAAGUGUUAUUUAUUUAUAUAAUGUCUUCUAUUUUUAUUUUUUAAAAGUUAAAUCUGUUUUAUGAUUACAUGAUCUCUAUAUGGAAAAACAAGUUAUUUGAUGAAGUUGAUGUUUUAAAUAGACUAAAUAAUUUGACCUAGUCUUAUAUUAGACUAAAUGAAUAUUACCUUGAUCUGAUUUUAAAAAGUAAAAAAUAAUUGUAAAUCUGAAAAGUUGAAAAAUACUUUAUUUAUUUAAAUCUAAGUCAUAUUAAUGAAAUUAGUUUUAAAUUUUAGUUACAAUAAUUUAAUACAUAAAUUUUAUGUAUUAAAAUAAUAUUAUUUUUAACAUUUUAAAAUUACCCUUAUCACUUUUAAAAACACAUUUGUUAAUAAAUUUUAGGACAAAAUUCAAACCUUAUCCAUUCUAUCUUGAUUUUUUAAUAUUUUCUUUCUAUUAUAUCUUCAAAAUAUAUUAAUUUUAAUAUGUUAAAAAACUUUAUAAUAAAUUUUAAAACAUUAAAAUCAAUAUACACAUAUUUUGAAAUUAUGAUUAAAAAUAACAAUAAAAAUCUAAUAGAGAAAGUGUAAAUCUAGUUAGUUAAAUUCCAAAUUAGAUAAACCCGGAAAAAAUAACCUAUUUUUAUUUAAGUAAAUAGAAACACUUUUAUUUUUUACUCUAAAUCCAAUUUACAAGUUAUUCAAGAUAUUUCAAGCAUUCCUAUUUUUCUCAACUCUAAUUAUCUCUUUCCCAAAACAAAUCAAGUAUUUAAAACUCAUUCAACGUGUUCUUCCACCUCAAAUCAAAUAUGUUCUUAAUUUUAUCAAUUGUUGAAAACUCACAUCAAUUAAAGAUAAAAUUUUUAUAAUAUAUAAGUAAAAUACAAAUUUUAUUUUACAAACCGAUUUUGAGGAAUUAAGUUAGACUUAAACUCACUUUUGUAUAUAUUCUUCGUGCAUCUUACUUGUUAACUUUGUUCGUGCAUUUUACUUGCUAACUUUGUUCCUACAUUUUACUUGCUAACUUUUGUUCAGCCCUAUAUAGAAAUUAAAUUAGAAUAAAUUCAAGUGUUUCAGCAUAAACUCUUUCUUCCUCUAUUUCUCACCCAUUCCCAACAAUGGAAAUUGUUAUUUUUAUUUAUAAUAAUUAAGAUUAUGACUAUAUAUUAAUAAAAACACACUCAAAAUUUGCUAUUGGUUUGUUCCAGGGUUGUCCAGCCUUAAAAAAAUGAUUCUUUUAAAUUAAAAAGUAAAUUAAGAGAUGAAACUUCAAAUUAAUGUAAUUCAUGUAAACUCUCUUAUUAAUAUAUACAUAUAGAGAGAAUAUGUAUAGACAUAGAUAUAAAUAUAUGCAUACCUCUUGUUUUUGUGACUUUGGACCAGAAGAUGAAAAUUGCAGAGGCUUCUUCUAUGCAACCUGUGUUCUCAAGUAAUGAGAAAGAAAGAAGAAAACCAAAAAUCAAAGCCUUUCCUUUAUCUCAAAUUUAUUAUAAAUUAAUUUGUAUUGAAUAUAUUGGAAAGAUCGAAUUUAUAAAUCAAUAAAACAAAACCCUUGACUUAUAAGGUCCUGCCGGCGCCAAGACAACAUGACAAAUGCUUAUGGAAACAAUUUUGCAUAUUUAAAAUAUCAAAAAGUAAAAAAUCUAUUAUGAUGAAUUAAAUAUAUAUAUAUAUGUAUAUAAUCAGCUAUGUUUAAUUAGAAGAAAACUCGGUUAUGUCUAUUAAGAAGAAAAAUCUGGCAUGUUUUAGUAAAAAUAAAGCAAAAUUCUCCACAAAUCAAAUUAAUUAAUUAAUAAAAAAAUUCAUAUACUCUUUUUAAUUUUCUGUGUAUAGAUUAAAUUUAACUAUGAAGACAUUUACUCGUUUUUUUUUUCUUUUUCUUUUCUCUUCUAUGGCUUAAUAUCACCCUUUAAAGAAACAUUCAAAAUUGAUGGAAUCUUUUCUGCACAGCUAACUAACAUGGAGAAAAAUAUUAGAGUAGCUCUUUUGAUAACCUUGAUCCAGUUGUAACCCUAAUGAAACAUUACAGAGAGCAUAAAUAAUUUAAAAAAUUAUGAUAUUUUAACAAUAUUUUUUAACAAUUUUUUUAUAACAGGAUACGUAUCAUCGUUUUAUUAGUCUAUUUAAAUUUACUUUUAAAAAAUAAUUAAGAUAGACUAAUUACAAAUUAUCACGUUUGUAAAAAAAUUAUGAAAAAAAAUUAUUAAAAUAAUUUUUUCCUAAUUUAAAAUAGGUGAUAGGAAAGGGACAUGAAAAUGUGAAAAUAAUGUGUAUUUCUUUGUUUGUAGUGAGUGAGUAACAGGUCAUUUUCUUGUUGAGUUGAGGUUUCAAAGGCUUUGCUUCCCUUAUAUUUGGACAUAUCAUUUCUUCUGUCCUCCUAAGGAUCAUUUGUCUGCACAAUUAUCAGUUUGCCAAAUGCUGAUUUUUUUUAUAAAGAAAAUUCAAAAUUAUUUUAAUACCGAAAUACAACACAUGAUUAAACAUAAAUAAGAUAUUGUGCCUUUUAAAUUAAGUCUUUAAAUUAUGUGUAUAUAAUAAAUUUAUGAUUUUCUUUUGUUUUUAUUUUAAAUGAAACUUUGUUUUGUAUCUUAAAAAAUUAAGUAAAAUUUAAUAACUCAUUAAUAUUUAUAUACUAUGUAGAAGUCAAGCACUUAUCAAAUUAGUACUUUCUUAUGCAUGCUUAUUUUAAGAUUGAUGAGUCUUAAUUACACUUUGCUUCCAUAUUAUUGCUGUGUAGUCUUGAAAAAGUACUGGUGUAUAUAAAUAAGAUUUAAAAUAUUUGAACAGGACAUAAGCAACUGCAAAAGAACUUCAAUUUCUAUUAUACAUUUUCCACCUACAUGGUAAUGUCUCCUUGUGCACUUCUACAUGUAAAAGUAGAAGUGAAAGGUGUCAUCUAUUCUUUAUUUCUGUAUAUACUUUCUCAUAAUGAAAAUUUACAGAUUUAUAAAUAAACAUAAAAAUAUCUGUACAGACCAUGAGCAAUUUCAGAAGAACUUGGAUAAUAUUGUACAUUUCUAAUCACUUUGAUAGGAGGAGUUAACAAUGUUCCCUUUGCAUUUUUAUCAACAAGAAUUGAAGAUAAAGGCUCCAGAAUCCUUUAUUUCUGUGACGAUGUUCCUUGAAAAGUGUUUCCAAAUGGUAUGUAUGAUCUCUAUGUCUGGAUAGUGUCACUUGGAGGGUCAACUGUGAUCCAAAGGAGUGCAAUGGUAAUGGAGAGAAUUCCUGCCCAGACAUAAAUAAUUGUGGGCACCCUUCCUCUCUUUCCCAUCAACCCUUUAGCAAAAGGGUACAUAUGAGAGAGUACCCAGAAGCUGAAGAACAUGCUUCCCAAGAGCUUAUUCCACUGUGGAAUCACACUGAACACAGUCCUUAAGAACCCCAUCACCAAAGCAAUUAUGUUAAUGAUGAUAAUUGUUAGUGGCAUGAUGAAGAGACUUGUCCAUUUCACAAUGUAAAGAUCCGCAUAUUCAUCGUCAUCUUCAUCACCUGCUGACUUAGAGGUUAAGGUAAAGGAAAUCUCUAUGCCAGCCACAACCUUUAGCAAACCUUGUAUGACAGCAACAAGGUGAGCACUGGUGCCACCAAUCACCCAAAACUGCUCAUUUCGCCACCAUUCCUCAAGGGCAAUGCCUGACCAUUUCACUUCAAGGAGGGAUAUCAGAGUGAGGCAAAUGGUGAUGAGCAACAAAUAGGUUAAGAAAGCCACAUUCAAGCCUUCCACUAUGAACUGCCCAGAGAAAAGGGAGAGUGCAGGAAUGAAGCAAUACACCACCAAAAACAAUGAGGUGAAUGGGUAGAUGCCAACAUUCAGGUACGAAAUUCUCUGCAAGAACUUGAGGCGCCUGCUAGCGAAAAAAGCAUUGUUUCUUGAGAAGAAAAUCUCCACAGAACCUGUGGCCCAUCUCAGCACUUGAUGCAGACGAUCUGUUAAGUUUAUUGGUGCAGUUCCACGAAAAGCAUCUCUCUUUGUAAUGCAAUAAAUUGAUCUCCAACCACGGUUGUGCAUCCUGUAACCAGUCACCACAUCCUCAGUUACUGACCCGUAAAUCCAACCUACCCUGUCCCCCCAUUCAGUCUUGUCCUCAUACCUGCAUUUUGCAUCAUAUCAUCAAAGGAAAAAGAGAAUAAGUUAAUUUUGACUAAUACACAAACAUGUCUGUGAUGGUAACAGUGAAGCAAAUUACCAGCAUGAGAUGACAGCAAUGGCCUCAGCAACGGUGGGGGCAUCCAAAGGUGGACGUGGUGUGAGAAGUGCCCCAGGUGGUCUUCCAUUCUUCACAGAUUUGUGAUCAGCAAGUGGCCUUCCGUUGUAUUCAGCCACAGUUAUGGAAUCUGUGAACAUUGUUGAGCUUCCAAAUUUUUCUGGAUAACCCAUUUCUGAAUCAGAUGUUAGGGGUUGCGUGUCAUCUUCAACUUUUGCAUGUGGUGCUCUAAGGUUAACCUUUGUUUUCACUCUUCCAAACACACCAGUGUGCUCAAUGAAUCUCGGUGGUUCAAAUCCAUACAAUGCAUACCUCCUGAACAUGCAACCUGUUCCUACAUACAUUGGACCUUGGAGACCAUCCAGUGCUCUCAUAUUUCCUGAUGAAUUACACAUUGUUAAAUACAAAUACAUCCUAAUAAAGGAAAGGAAAUCAUGGCAAGUGACAAAUCAUUAUGAUCUUGUAAGAACUAUAACUUAUUCAAAUUUUAAAAGAACUAUAUUAGAGAAUUUCUUUAUGGAAAAGUCUAUCUAAACUUAAUGGUUUGCUUCAAAUGAAUAAUGGAUAGCAAGAUAUAUGUGACAGGGUUGUUUUUACCAUCAAAGAAGACUGUGUUGUGAUUUGCAUAUCGAUCAGAAGGAUCAAUCCCUUCAAACCUUUGCGGAAACUGUAUGUAACAUACGCGAUCACCACCACGGUCCAUCAUGAAGCACAUUCCCUCCUUCACAGCAAGGGAAUUGUAGAAGUAGUGGUCACAAUCCAAGUUGAGAAUGAAUGGUCCAUUAGACAAUAUGGCUGAGGCUCGAACCAUAGCAUUCAUUGCUCCUGCUUUCUUGUUAUGAUCAUACCCUGGUCUCUUCUCUCUUGAGACAUAUGCAAACAUUGGAAUCCUGAUGUCUACACCUGUGAAAUCUAACUUUGUCUCAUCUUCAAUGCCCAUUACAGGAUCAUGAUCUGGGACCUUACUCAUUAUCUGUAUAUAAUAAACAUGCACAUUCAGUAUUAAUUCUCUAUGACCAACUCCAUCUAAUCAAGUUAAUCUGAAUACAAAGUACAUAGAAGAAAGAAGGUUUAACUACGUUUUACUUAUAGUCUUUCUCAAAUUUUGUUUUUGUUUCUAUGAUUACAAAUUUAGUGCUGAAUCUAUGUAGUUUCUUAAUUUCUACUAGAGAAUUGGCCCUACUAUCAUGUUUACAUGUGCUUUGGCUUUGGUUGCUGAAUCUGGACCAUGAAAGAAACUAUAGAAACUUGAAAUCAAACCUCUUAAAGUGUAUAAAUCAAUCCUGAAGUUAAAAAAAAAAUAUUUGAACUAUGAUUUCUUCGGUCCAUCUAUUUGACAGAUUUUCUUUCAAUUCUUUUGAAAAAUACUGUUAACUAUUUUGGCAUGGGUAAGGUAAAUAAUAACAAGCCAAUGAUAUCAUGCCAUCAUAUAGCUAAUUUCAUACUUGUUAAAAUUUAUCAGAAUCAAAACUAACAAGUGCAAACUUAAUAUGAUUAAAAUCAAAUUUCACCCAAUUUCAAUUGAAUUCAAACACUGAAGCAGAAAAAAAGUAAGGACUACAUACCUGCAAGAUUCCAGCAUGGUCACCCUUAGAGUGAUCAGGUGUAGGGCUAUACCAAGUACCUGGCCAUUGAGUGCCAUCAGCCAUCCAUGUAGCUUGAGGGACAUCACUGGUGUAAUCUGAUGGUAGAGUUCCUCCAUUUUUCUCCUUAGCUAUCUGCUUUGCUUUUUUUUCCUCUUUAGAGUUGUGUGUUUUACUUCUUUGACGUAUUACCUCAGGAAGUCCAUUGAUUCUGACCUUAAAUUCAUCAUACUCUCUCUUGAUCCAUCUACGGUCUUUCACAAAAUCGUGUCGUUUCUUGUUCUUGGUGGGGUCUUUCUUCAAAUUGAAGUAAGCAUCGGGAUUCCUAGGUUCAAUGUUGUGUUUUCUACAAAAGGGUACCCAAACCUGUGUAUAUGCAUAUCAAGAACAUAGUUCAUGUUAUCUCAUAAUUAACCUAAAUUGAAUAAAAACUUGUUUGGUCAUGUUUGAUAUAACAUCCUUAAUUCAAAAUUUUAUGACAUAUUGUUGCUAUCCAAUCCAAUAGACAUAUUAAAGAGUAUAAUUUAACAAGGUUGUUUAAACUUUUUCAUUAUGGAACAUCCCAAACAUACACCUAUUUGGGUCAUACUCACAUAUUCUAACUAAAUCUCGAUAGUUUGGUGUAUGACGAUUAUUAUUUAUCAAUAUGUUAUUAUUUACUCCAAUGUUAUCAUACUCUUUAGGUAAGUAUUAUUUCCAUAGGAACAUAGGUUCACGGUUCAUGUUGAUUUUAUAAAUACAACUAAUAUUCUUCAAGGAAUACCAACUUGAUAAACAUUGAUACACUCAAAAUUUACAAUGAUCCUAACUCUUUUACUGACUUGAGCGUUAGAGAAUCUUUUGUAAGUGGAUCUUCCUCUCCCAUCUUAAUAGCUAGGAGGUCUUUUCGAGAUGACGAGAGCUCUAAAACCCAUUGUUAGGAUCUUGUCACCUGUCUACAAGUCCACACUCAAGAUUCUGGUAAAUCAUUUGGCGUCCACCUUAGGCCCUGAUAAAACAUUUCCUGGCCUCACCUCCCUAUUGUCACCACUUGAAGAUCUGCACAACUCUCUCACAGAAGUGAACUAGGUUGCCACCUUUCAACAACAAGUGCAGAUGCUCAUACAACAUAAUAAUGAAAAAUGCAGGCAACAUGACAUUUAAGCUUGAGGCCCUAUGCACCCACCAACAAACAAACUCACAGGAGCAUCAACUAAGGCUGACUAGCCCCAAGAACGAGAGGUCAUCUCUGAAGCCUCUCCUUGACCCCCGGGAACAUGACCUCUAGAAUUCCUGGACAAGAGACAGUCGGAGUUGCUACCCUCAACGCCGAGCUCAAGGAGAUCGAAGCAGGUCGGCUAUCAUGGAGCAGAAGGAACCCAAUGACCACGAUCGAAGACACUGAAGCAGGUCACCCGAAGUAGAACAGAAGAAAGCCGCAGACGCUCUGUCCAACCCGAACAGUAGCUCGGCAUGCACAAAUAUCGCAACCUAGAUGUGAAAUCAAUGGAGUCUCAAGAUUCCACAAGGCAAUCAAGCAGGCAGAUAGGUCAACAUGAACGUCGAGCUACCUGAAAACACGCUAGAGAUUCCUCAAAACCACCCUUAGGAUCUUGUUACGUGUCCGGAAGUUCACGCUCAAGAUCCCGACAAGAUCACGUACUAUUAUAGUUACAAAAGAAUUACAACUAAAGGACAUCUCUAUAUAUAUUUGUCUGAUUUCCUUUUCUUUUUUUAUUUUAUAAAAACUCUAGCCAAACUAGGGUGGCUUUAGUUUAUGAGAUUUGUUAGAAAUCUCACAUCGACUAGAAAUAAUGUCAAUUUAGAAUAUAUAUAAGUGGUUAUAAACCUCACCUUACAAGUCGUAUUUGUUGGGUUAAGUUAGGUUUAAAGUUUAGACAUCAAAGUCAUGCAUUAAGGCUUAUUUUAGUGAGAUUUCUUAUUUGUUGGACAUAUUAUUCUAUCCGUUAUCGAAUCAUCCAUUAAUGUCUAUCCCAUACUCGAGAUGUAUAUACCUCGAUCUCAGGAAUGUAUUGGAAUAUAAGUCAUCUUAUUCUUUGUCGGGAAGGUACACCCACACAUGAAACCUAAUAUCAAAUAGAUCAAUUCAUCACCUAAAUUAUCUUUAUUUUUUAUCCCAAAUCUUCUCGUUCUAAAUUUUAAAUCUUUGAAAUACCAACUUCGACCUUGCAAAGCUGCAAAAAUACUAUAUUAUAAAGUAGAAAAGUUUACAUCCAUCCUUAAUUAAAAAUUUGUUUACUUGAGUGGAUUUGAGGGAAAGUAAUUGAAAUGAUUUGAGAGGAUUUAAAGAUAUUUUUUGUUGUUGUUUAUUUGAAUAGAUUUGGAGGUAAGUGAGAGUAGAUUUGGAACUAAAAUUUGUCAAAAUUAGUGUAAGAUUUAAUUUAUAUGACAGAUUAAAAAAAUUUACUUCAAAACUCAUUCUCACUUACCUCCAAAUUUAUUCAAAUAAACAACAAAAAAAAUUAUCACCAAAUUCUCUCAAAUCCUCUCAAUUAACAUCCUUCAAAUCCACUCAAGUGAACAAGACCUAAAUGAUGGAAGUUUAUUUCAAGUUAGCAUCAUUUCGUACUUUAGACAUUUCCUGACAUGAGAGGAAUCAAAGCUUCUUGGAUGUUGAAGUUUUGAAAAUGAAAAUACAUUUUACUAAAAAUGGUUAGAAAAGAAAAAUUGUUUUGAAAAAAAAGGAGUAAAUAAACCGUGCAGAAACCAAAAUGUAAACUGACCUCAGCAAAUUUGACAGCUUCAGCCAUGGCUUCAAAUGUGAGUAUGGCUCCACCAUCAUCUGAAAUGUAGCAUGAUAUUUUUUCAAUUGGAUAGUUUACACCAAGAAUGGAAAGAAUGGUGUUGGCUGUGACAAGAGGUGGUUCCUUUUCAGCAUCAGCAGUGGACACAAAAACAUCAACCCCUGGUAAGUCUGAGCGACCAGUUGGGUUGGAAGCAGUUGGUUGAUCAAACUUGUCAUGCAAUGCACCAAGGUCUACACUUCUGUUUAUUGGGUUCAUUUUGGGUAAGAUAUCAAGAAGCCAAGAGAAAGCAAACCAAAGCUCACACACAAUUGAUAUUCCCCACAACCACAUAGCUUCAUGGUUAGGGUUCGAAACUCGCCAAGUUAAGAACAUAACUAGGAUUACUAUACGGAUAACCACCAACAACCUGUUCACAUAACAAAAAACAAUUCAUAUUGCAGAAACUAAAGUGCAGCAAUUGCUGAUACCGUGUCAUUUACAAAACUAGUUUGAAGUAGUAGACUUAAUUAAUAUCACAUACAGUUAGAAAAAGGUGAUUUAAAUUGGAAUAGAAUGUCAGAAAAUGGAAAUUAUCAAAAGUCUCCAUCCCACAAGUUCCUAUAAGAUUAUAAUUAUAAAAAAGGUUAAAUUAUUAGUAUAUGAUUCUUUCAAUUCCCUCUAUUUUAAUGUUUUUUAUUCCAUGCACGAGAAAAUUAUAGGUCUUAAUGUCCAGACCUGCAUAGCAGUUCAGUUUUGAUCCUUGCUGAUAACACCAAGUAACAAUUUUUACCAACAAACUAAACUUAUAUAUAGUUCCUCUGUCAUGUAAAUGAAUGUAAGGACUCUAAAAGGUUCCAAUGUUUCUUACAAAUUAAGGUCUAAGAGUUAAAAAUGAGACACCUAUAAGAAUCAAAUAAAUAGCAUAUAAAAUCUUCUGGAAAAACAAAAGAAACAUCAUGCAUGUCUCGAAUAUCGUAACAGCACAACAUGCUCCUGUGGUAACCUAAAGAAUGAGAAACAUGUGAAGACACAAUCUGCUGGUAUGAUGAAAAAUGGUAUAUAUAUAUAUAUGAUUGAUGUAUACCUGUAAGGGCUAAGUAUAGCCCCAGGGAUUCUAAUCUUCCGAGUUAGUGGUUUCCAAGGCUUGUCCAUGAAAUCUGCCAUGCUCACUCCUUCUUCAAAAGUGUUCUGAUCUUCCUGCCAAAAUGCAUUCCCUAUGCCAUAAGUCCCUUUGGUCUCAAACAACCAUCGGUUGUGAUCAAAAUCUUGAGUUUGGCUCCUCAACAGCAUGGACUUGCUAUUCCCUGAAUUCAACCCAUGCCUUUCCUGCUGAGAUUCUGCAGCAAACCUUGAGGUCCCAGUUGCAGCACCAUCUACCUUGGAAUCAGAGGCUCCAGGUUGGUUAUCUGGGGUGGGAGGCAUCAUCACAGUGUAAUUGAUGUAGUCAUUUGAGCCUGAAUUAUCACCAGACAUGUCAUUGUCAUCAUCUCUUGAAAGGCUCAUAGUCCUCCCACUUGAAGUACGUUUUGUAAAUUUCACUCCUUGCUGUUGCUUUGCACCCGCAGAGGAUGAUUUGUUUGAAGAAUUUGAUGAACCUUUCAUCUCUGCCAAUGUUUUUCUCUCACAUUUAAGUGUUUGAUCUCCGCCAAUGCACUUGUCUUCUUUUCUUUUGUUAUAAUUGUACGUGGAGAAUUAUGGGAACACCAGUUUCCAUGUAUGCCUGCAUGCAACCGUGAAAGAGGUUAAUCAGAUUGGCUGAGAAAUGCAAAAGCAUGAAGGAACAUUGUUCUUGGAGGAGAGAAAUCUCAUGGCUCCAUAAUGGCUUCUGUGAGAUUUUUGCAUGCCAUAUGAAAUUCUAGCUUUUGGGAUGCAUGUCAUAGCCCCUUAAUUUGUGCUCAACCUCUAUCACUAUCUCCAUUUUCUCUUUCCUCUACUGGUUAGGUUGUUUAGCACAAACACAAAUUUUCUCAAAUUUUGCAUCACAAAAAUUUUAACAGUCUCUUGAAAAGGAAAACAUGUGUCAUAUACACAAAACUACAUAGUUACUUCUACCAACCUACAACAUUUUCAUCGUUUAAAUUACGAAUUGUUAUACAUUUGUGUGCAAUGGUUUUUAAAAGAUACAUGUAAACAAACAAAAUUAAACUUAUCCAAAUUUUUUAUCAUGAGAUAUAUAAAAGAAUAUUGCUAUCUGUUCUUUAUUUAACCGAUAAUGGUGGAAUGAUAUAUAGAAUGUAUAAAUUCAAACAAAAAUAUAGUAAAUAAAUAUUAAGAGUUAAAUAUGUUUUUGGUCCCUUAACUUUUAAUGAAAAUUGAAAUUAAUCUCUCUUAAAAACUUUGGCUUAAUUUAGUCUCCUAACUUUAAAAAUGUAUGAAUUUAGUUCUUUUAACUAAAUUUUGUUAGAUUUAUUUGAUGUUUCAAGUACGUUUCAUUAUAGCAUUUGGAUUGUUUACACUGGUUAAUUGAGAAACUCGUUUGAAACAUCAAAUAAAGUUAACAAAAUUUGGGUAGAAGGACUAAAUUCAUGCAUUUUUAAAGUUGGGAGACUAAAUUAGGCCAAAAAUUUUGAAGAGGGACAAAUUCCAAUUUUCAAAUAAAAAUUAAGAGAUAAAAAACAUACUUAACCCUAAAUAUUAAUAAACAUUUAAAGUUGUUUAGUAUGUUUUUAUUAAUUUAUCUUUAUGCUCAAAAUAAAUUGAAUGCAUAAUCUACAUUUAAUUGAAGAAAAUAAAAAACAAUGUUAUUAAUGUGGCGUAAAAAAAGUUUGAUGCACUGUUGCUUUAAAAUAAGCGAUUAAAUUAAGGUUAUUUAUUUAAAUAGUUUGACACGUUAUUUAUUUAUUUUUAUUAAAUAAAAAAGGAUUAUUAGCACUAGUCUAAAAUGUAAGCAUUGCUAAAUAUAUAUUUUAGAAAUUAAACUGAGAAAAUAAUGUAAAUCUAGUUAUACCAUGCAUUAUCAUACACCUACAUUUGAUGUUCAUAAAUAAAAAAGUUAAAACUUUUAUAUGAACUUAUAUGUCACUUUGACAUGUAAAGAGUUACAACCUUGGUAUGAAGAGGUAAGUAGUUAUGUUUUUGCAACGUCAUGCGUUAGUUAAUCAUUUGUAUGUCCUUUAGGUUAGAAGUGAGUUUUAGGCCUAACUCAACCCCACAAAACCGGCUUGUAAGGUGAAGUUUGCACCUCACUUAUAUAUUAUAAAUUGGCUUUAUCUCUAUCCAAUGUGGGACUUCCAACACACCCCCCUCACGCCGAUGUAUAUACAUAUCGAGCGUGAGACUAGAUAUUAAUGGGUGGUCCGAUAACGGCCCAAUAGCGGGUGGAACAAUCUGCCCAACAAAUAUCGCUAAGAUAGGCUCUAACCAUAGCUCUGAUACCAUGUUAGAAUGGGUUCUAGGCCUAACUCAACCCCACAAAAUCGGCUUGUAAGGUGAGGUCUGCACUCCACUUAUAUAUUAUAAAUUGGCCUUAUCUCUAUCCGAUGUGGGACUUCCAACACACCCCUUUCACGUCGAGGUAUAGACAUCUCGUGCGUGAUAGUAGAAAUUGGGUGGUCCAAUACUGGCCCGACAACGGGUGGAAUAGAAAGAGAAAUGCUCACUUAUAACUCGCUAGGAUCUGCCAAAGCUUCCUGUACAUUACUAGGAAUAGAAAUUGAAGAUAAUUGAGAUACAAAUUAUGCAUAUGAUUGAGAUAACCUGUGAGAUGACACAUAUUUACUAAUGGGAUAUUUAACUUAGGCUUAGAGGUCUGGUUCAUAUUUAGCUAGAGGUUGACCAUGGUUAGAACGAGGUGGAAGAUUAUAUUGAACAGUAGUAGACUCAGUGUUUGGUGUGUUGGUGGUUUCAGGCAGACAAGAAUCAAUUUCAUUUAAAUUAGUAUUAUCAGAGAUAGGAUCAGAAGGUACCUCUGAAGAGUCAAGUUAAACCUGUGAAGAAGAUUGAGCCAAUUGGUUAUGAUCAGAAGACAUUGUAUUAUCCAAAAAAGAAGUGUCCAUAUUUAGGAUUGGCUCACUUGCUGCAGAAUGAUCCUCACACGAUAAUAUAUAUAAUCAAACAUACUAACAUCAUGAUUAUGCACUUCACUUUCAUUGCCUCCCUGAAGUGCAGAAUCAACAUAAAAAAAUUCAUGCUCAUUAAAUGUCACAUCCAUAGAAAUAUANAAUUUCUUNNAUGGUGGAUGGUAAGCACGAUAACCUUUUUGAGUUGUUCCAUACCCAACAAAAACACAUUUGAUCGCUCGUUCUUCGAGCUUUGUACGUUGAUGUGGGUAUAAGUGAACAUAUAUAACACAUCCAAAAAUAUGAGGUGGUAAAUAAACUAUGGGAGGAAGGAUACAAUGAUCAGACAACACAUCAAAAGGCCUUUGAUAGUUAAGCACACUUGAAGGGGUUCGAUUAAUUAAAUAAACGGCAAAGCUCACAGCCUCACCCCAUAAAUGAGAUGGGACAUUACCAUCUAUCAAAAGUGAUCUAGUCACCUCUAAUAUAUGUCUAUUUUUCCUCUCAGCCAAUCCAUUUUGUUGUGGUGAAUAAGGACAUGUAGUUUGAUGCAAGAUGCCUUUAGAGUUCAUGAACUCUAUUAAUUCAGUCUUAAAAUAUUCCCCUCCAUUGUCUGAUCGAAUAACCUUAAUAAAUGUGUUAAAUUGUGUAACAAUCAUAUNNNNNNNNNNNNNNNNNNNNNNNNNNNNNNNNNNNNNNNNNNNNNNNNNNNNNNNNNNNNNNNNNNNNNNNNNNNNNNNNNNNNNNNNNNNNNNNNNNNNNNNNNNNNNNNNNNNNNNNNNNNNNNNNNNNNNNNNNNNNNNNNNNNNNNNNNNNNNNNNNNNNNNNNNNNNNNNNNNNNNNNNNNNNNNNNNNNNNNNNNNNNNNNNNNNNNNNNNNNNNNNNNNNNNNNNNNNNNNNNNNNNNNNNNNNNNNNNNNNNNNNNNNNNNNNNNNNNNNNNNNNNNNNNNNNNNNNUUUUGUCGUGAGACAUUUUCCAGAUAAUACAGUCCUUCACUCUCUCUACCACUGGAAAUCUUCUCCUUGGAAUGGAUGUUCUGAAAAAGACAAUGGGUUGGGUAAAACAAGGCAACACAAGAAUGUGAUUUUGUUAACUUGCUGACGGAGAUAAGAUUACAGUUUAAUGUAGGAACAAAUAAGACAUCAAGAAUUGAUAAGGAGGGUGAGAGGGAUAUAGUACUUAUACCUUCAAUAGGAGAUGAGACCCCAUUGGCAUUAAUAAUAACACUUUUAAAACAAUUAGAGGAAAAACUAGUAAAUAUAUGAGGAUCACAAGUCAUAUGAUCAGUAGCACCUGAGUCAAUUAUCCAAUCACUACCCUUAGUAACAACAGAAAGAUUAAAAGCAGAGUUAGAUAGACCUGACUUGGCCACAAAUCCAGCAGCAGUAGAAAUAUAACUCUUGGAAGCAGCGGAAGUUCCAGAAUUAUGUUUCUCCGAUUGAUUGUCAUCGGGAAUUAUGUUUCUCCGAUUGAUUGUCAUCGAAAGAAGCCAUCAGAAAUAUUCAAUGAAAAAAAGCACUGAUUCCUAUAUUGUAGGGGAUAUCAGUGUUUGGCUCUUGAUACCAUGUUAGAAGUGAGUUUUAGGCCUAACUCAACCCCACAAAAUCGGCUUGUAAGGUGAGGUCUGCGCCCCACUUAUAUAUUAUAAAUUGGCUUUAUCUCUAUCCGAUGUGGGACUUCCAACACUUUCUACUUCUUUCAUACAUACAUGCCUCUUUUAGAACAUUACAGGACAUUUUAAAAUGGAUAAUGAUACUAAGAUAACAUUUUUUUUGACAAUAUUUGAAUAUCAUCUACGUAUCAUUCUGUGAUAGGUCCAUAGUGGUGUUUAUGAUUAUUAUUAUUAUUGAUUAUAGAGUAAUUUUGGACCAAUUACAGAAUGACACGUAGAUGAUAUUGAAAUGUUGUCAAAAAAAUGUUAUUUAAGUAUCAUUAUUCUUCCAAAAUGUACAAUUUACUGUAUUUUCUAAUUUCUUCUUCUAAACCUUAUCAUCUUUCCUUUCUUUGGUCAUGUUUUUUCAGAGACUCUUUGAAACUUCAUUCCUUUCAAAGCCUUAUCUUUCUCCUUAGAUUACUUAUCCUUCUAUCAUGUUCAUCAUCCUUCCUUUUAGGAGAGAAUUCGUCCACAAAAUUGCAAAAUCUACAUCAUAAGUAGACAAGUCAUUUACAUUAAAACUAUUACUUACGAUAUAAUCAUUAGGAAAAUUUAAUUUGUAUGCAUAACCUUUCUAGAACUUGGAAAUCUUUCCUAUUUUGGAGUUUUGACUUUCUUUUAUUAGAAAGUAUAUCAUUCCUAUAAAAUGUGGUCACACUUUACUUUUUUUGUUAGUUGACUUUGCAUAGUAGGUUGCCUUCUCUUUUAUUUCUUCAAACUUGGAUGGUAGAUCAUUCACUGAUUUUGCUUUCUUAGCCACACCAUUACAUUUGAUCGCCUCAUUAAUAGGAAGAAGUAACAAAUCAUUAAAGGUUAAAGGAUUAAACCCAUAAAAAAGCUCAAAAGGCAGACUAAGAAUUUAUGGUAUUUAUGACUAAUGAAAUCUUCAUAUACUCUUGAGAUUUUUAGAAAGCACUUAGUUUAACCAUUAUUUUUUAUAGUAGGGGUUGAGAAAAGAAGUUAAAUACUAGAUUUUCCCAAAAAGUCAUCCAAAAUCACUUAAAAUUUUAGUAUAUCUAUUAAAUACAAUGCUUUUAGGAAGCUCAUAAUCUUACUACUUCCUUGAAAAAUAAGCUAACCAUACAAAAAACAUCAUUCAUUUUUAUGGAAAAGUAUGGAAUUAACCAUUUUAGAAAGUCUAUCACCAUCACAAAAAAUUUAAUCAUAUAUGAUCUUGACAAUCUAGGUACAAAUCUUUAAGAUAUUUGACCAAGAAACAUGUGGAAUAAAAAUAGGGAUAUAAAAUUCAUGAGACAUAACUCUAUAUUUAACGUUCUUAAAAAAAAUACAUUUUUCAGAAAAAACUUUUAAACAUCCAUCUUUAAAUGUGGCCAAAAGAAAUGUUCAUUUACAACGUCUAAAGUUCUUAAAUAUUGAAAAUUUCUCAUAAAAUUCUCUCAUAAGCUUUUUUUUAUAAAUGGUUCUUUUAGAGAUCUUUGAGGUACACAAAGACAUUUAUUUUCAAAAAGAACUAAGGAAAAGUAGUCUUGCAAUUUUAGCAAAGUAACUUUAUAUUCAACUAAGUUCUAAAAAAUUACACAAGGCUCCCUCCCCUUUUAUAAGUGAAAAAGUAGGCUAGCAUUCAAUGAACUAAAAUGAAACUAGAAGCUUCAUAUGGCAAGGGGAGAGAUGAGAGUCUUCCCCCUAACUACUGUUCAAGUUCAAUGUCUAGGAUCUCCCUUGAUGUUGACAUGUUCUAAAGGCUUUCAAAACUUUUAAUGUUAAUGCAAAGAGUGCUCCUAAAAACCAAAGAAAUCUUUACUUAAAUGCUUUCAAAUAAUUUAAGUAUCACAGAGACUUAAAAGGAAAAAUAAAACAAUGUAUAAAAGGAAAGUAGAAAGGAAUUGAAUGCUAUGUAAACAAGUAAUGCUAACGACUUUAGGUGAAGAUACAAAUAACAAUUAAGAUCCACUUGAAACAUCUUCAAUUCUAAGAGUGAAAAAUUAACUAUUACAAAAGUUUAGCAAUGGAUAUGGAAUUGUACCAAAGACAUUUUCUUAAGACACCAAGCAAAUAGAAAAUGAAACCAAAAAAAUUAUAAAAACACAAAUGUUUUGUGAUACAAAACAACUAACAAAAGUGUACACACAUCCCUUAAAUCCUUGGUUUCUUCAAGUGUUUAACCUCUCCUUAUGUUCACUUCAAAUCUGUGUAAAAAAUCCUUCUUCUAAAGUCCAAAGAGAUGUUUCUUUUAGCCUUCUUUCAAGCUCUCAAAUAUUAAGACAAGAUCGUCUAUAAAACCGAACUGUCUAAACACUCUCAUAUGUUUUGAAGUUUAACCAACAACAUUAAACGAAAUGAGCGUAUAACAAUGUUAUACUUAGAAUAAUAAUAUAGCUAAAAUAUAAGUGGUUUGUCAAAAUGCUCUGAAAAACCAAAACACAUUAGGAAAGCCUUAGUAAAAACACAUAAGUAUGAACAGACGUACCACUAAACGAUUUCCCUAAUUAAUGCGUCAUUGAGAGUCAUGUUGAAUGCAACAAAUGUUUUACAUCACUAGGCAAUGAUCAAACAAACUCUUAAUAUAUCUUGAUAGAUAAAAGUGUCAAACAAUGUUUUUAGAAAGCACGCUAAAAGUCUCAAAUGAUAUUCCAAAAACUUAUGUUGAAAGACACCUUUCUAAAUGCAUUUUUUAUUAUAACAGAGAAAAACAUAAAUAAACGUUUACAUGGGCUAGAUGAUACCUUGUGUUAAACAAUCUACUUCAUUUAACAACAAAGUCUUCAUCAACUGCUUGGUAUCUUAGUGAAAAGCUGAAACGAUAAAAUCCUACCUGAAUGAUAGAAAAUGUAAAAGGUACUUUGUUGUUCUGAACAUGCGUUAAAUGUCAUUAAAUGCUCAACAUUUAAAAAUAACAAAAGUGAUAAGAGAAAAGACAUAUUUUUUGCAUGCAUAUCUAUUCUACUUUGUGCAAAUUGCCUAUUACACGCAUCCACCUGCUCCAUCCUAUACAAAUCAGAAGUGGACGUUAGAAACAAAGAAGACAUUCACAUAAUGUUCCCUUCAUAAAAAAGUUCUGCUAGAAAAAUCGUUCUACCUAUUUUUGUCAAAGUUCUAAAAAAGCAUGCAUGCUCUGACAAUUGACUUUAACUAAUGACUAUUACAUACGACAAGACUAAAAAUACUCAAAGAUCAAAGCAAAGUUCUGUUUAAUGGAUAUCUUUUUUAGAAGUCUUUAAAUAGAAGAUCACUCAAAAAGAGAAUCAAGAGAAUAACACAGAAAGAAAAGGCUCAAGCAAAUAACCUCAAGAAAAAGCUCAAAAGCACAAAAAAAAAAGAAUAUCUGAGAGAGAAAAGCUCAAGAAAAGAAAGACUCGCAAGAUUCAUUGAUAUAUAAGCUUACUAUUAUAAAAAGAAAGAAAUAUUUAGUGAGUAUUAGAUUGAAAUGUAUUGCACACAUAUCCUCUAUGUGAGAGUUGUCACUUAAGGACUUGUAACUAAUCUUUUAAAUUUUGAAGAGAAUUAAAGCAUUUUACGUUUAACUUUGAGGAGUUAAACGAUAGCUAUAUAAGUGUGUUUAGUGGAAACCAGGAGUGGAUGAAACUCUGAUGUUGAACUUGGUCAAGUUAAACGGUAGCUAGGUGAGUGUGUCUAGGGGAAACCAAGAGUGGGUAAAACUCAACUAGACAGUGCAUCAAGAAGAUACUGGAGUGUCUAGGGAUACCAAGAGUGGUAAAGAAUACUACGCAACCAGGAGUGAGUGAAACUCGGUACUAGUUAUAGUAACGAUGGUUACUUGGAGUGACUAGGGAUACCAAGAGUGGUGAGGAUACUCAAUUGUAAUCUUGUUGAAGAUUAUAGUGGAACCCUGUAUGGUGUUAGAGGGGACUAGGCGUAGCUCGAUGGAGCGAACCAGUAUAAAGACAAACUAUGUGUUCAUUGCUUUAUUCUUUAUUCACACUUCUCUUACAAAUCCUACAAUUAUACUUUAUUUUAAUAGAUAUAAAAACUUAUGCUACCACGACUUUUUAUUAAAGAGCUGGUUUUAUUAAAACACUACAACAAACAUUUUCAAACAAUUAAAAAACAUUUGCUAAACAAAAAUCAUUUUUUAAACUGAUCUUUAAGGUUGGGCGUUCAAUAACUUACGUAAACUUUUCAAUCAUUGACAAAACUGUUAAUUAUCUCCUUUAAGAAAAAUUUUCCUAUUAAUACUAUUCAACUCCCCCCUUUUAGUGUUUUUCCAAGUACUUCAAUCUUGUUGCAUAUUUUAGUGAAAAAACUUAGAGAAUCUACCUUAAACUAUCCUACCUAUUAUAAAAAGCUUUAUGCUUUCGUCUGGGCCCUCAAAAUAUGAAAGCAUUACUUAGUGACUAGUGAAUUUACUAUUCAUACAAAUCAUGAGUCACUUAAGUAUUUGAAAGGGUAAGGAAAGUUGAAUAAAAGACAUGGAAAGUUGAUGGAAUAUCUAGAAUAAUUCCUUUAUGUUAUCAAACAUAAGAAGGGAAGAAAUAAUGUUAUAACCGAUGCAUUGUUUAAGAGACACACAUUAUUAGUUUUCUUAGGAUCUCAAAUAAUAGGGUUUGAUGAGUUGUAUGAGCAUGAUGAAACAUUUGUGUCUACGUAUGUGUUAUGUCUUAAGAAACAUUUUGAUGAAUUUUAUCUUUUUAAUAAAGAAAAACUUUAUAUACCUCAAGGGUCCAUCAAGAAGGUUCUUAUCCAAGAAAGUCACGGAGGAGGUCUCAUGAGUCAUUAUAGGGUAAACCCUUACUCUUUUGAAAAACAAAUUUUAUUAGUCACACAUUAGAGUAAAUGUUUAGAAGCAUUGUUCUAUAUGCAUAACUUGUUAAUAAGAUAAGUCUAAAAUAAUGCAUCAUGGACUCUAUAUCCCUCUUUCGAUAAGAAGUACCCCUUAGGAGGACAUUAACAUGAAUUUUGUCCUAAGUUUACCAAGAAACUAAAGGGUAUAAGUGAACCCUAAUUUCACGAAAUACAAAUUCUCUCAAAAAAAAAUUUUAAUUUAAAAUAUCAAAAUCCACAUCAUUGUCCCACUUAAAAUAUUCUAAGUCUAUUAGGUAUUUUAACGAUAUAGAUCCAAUUGUAUCAAUUUUUCACGAUUAAGAAUCCAAUAAAGACAAAAAAAUAUUUGAAUAUUUUAAAAAAGUCAUAAGAAAAUAAAAACGUGUGAUUAAACUAUAAUAAAUAUGUCUUUGUCAUAGUGUAUCCAAAAUAUAUUUUAAAUUACAUAACUCAUAUAUAUAUAUAUAUAUAUAUAUAUAUAUAUAUAUAUAUAUAUAUAUAUAUAUAUAUAUAUAUAUAUAUGCAUAUCUUUUUUUUCAAAUUAUAUAUAGAUUGUUUUAACAUAAUUUUGUAAUUAUAAAUUAUAUAAUUUGAAAUAUAUUUUCAACUAAUAUAAUUAUUCUACAUUAUAUAAUUCAGGAGUAUUUUAAACUUGGUAGAAUAUAAUUUUGAAUUAAUUGAGAUGUUGUGAUAAAGAUAUAUUGAUAAUUUUAAAUAUUAAGGGGAGGGGGAGAAAUUCUUUUCUUAAACGACAAGUUAAUUAAAAAAUAAUAAACUUAUAUAAAAUAUACAUAAAUAUAUGUUUAAGACUUUAUUUAUAUAUAAAAUAUAUAAGUAUAUAUAAUUUUGUUCAACAAUCAAUUCUAUUAAACUUUUUUAUCAAUUUGUUAAACUUAGUCUUUAAAAGUAAACACUAAAAUAAUAUAUUUAGAUUGGAUU